ACACACAGAUAAUAAUAAUAAUCAUGUUUCCAUAAAAUUGCUAAGUCCAGAGAUAAUACAUAAACAUAGUAGACUGUUCAUGACACAUAUCACGGUGGACAGUGUUUGUGUCCUUAUUACAAGCAACGAGAGAUGCUCGUCACCAACACGCGCGCGCACAGAUGCACGACAUACAUAUAGUAGAGACCAACAGAUGGUCGUCCCAUAUGGUGAACAAUUUAUUGGAGAUAAAUAUUAACGUAACUUGGCCAUAGCUUGAAGCAUAGCAACAUAUGCCUAUGAGUGGCAUUCAUGCUAUCGUUUUAGGCUUGUCCAGCUCCUUCCAUCUUAGCAAGCACUUCCAUUUCUACCAUCUUAGCAGCAACUGUCAAAUUGAGAUACGGAAAUCCCAUUAGCGCAUGAGUUAAUUUUGCAGUGGAAAUAGAGUACAAGAUGUCUUCAUGAUGUAAGUAAUAUGCCUGAAGUUGUGAGAUGGGAAGUGAAGUCAACAAAUUACAUUAACGGAAAUGCAUGGAAGGCCACACAUACGUAUUAGUCCAUGAUAUGCUACAAAGCUUGUAUGUACAUAUAGCAAAUUAAAUGCAUUAAUUGAAUAGAGUGUGUUUAGUGAAUUUACCAGAAUCGUCCAGAAAACAUGGGAAACAGCAAGUGUUCUUGCAGACUGCGUCGGAGGCACCCGCACGAAUACAAAGCUGACAACAUAGUUUUGCCUGGGCGGAUGCGCAGCAGCCGCACUCCGCCGCGGUGGGGUUAACAUUGAGGCUCAAGAUGACCAGGCACAUGAUCACCAUCAAAGUGGUAGUCCUCUUUCCCUCCAUUGCCUCCUCUUAGCUUGCUGCUACCUUCCUUGGUUACCUAGCUAAGUUUAUUGGUUUUGUGUUGAGAGGUGUGAUUCUUGAAUGGACGUUGCCGGCGGCAAUUUAUAGGCAGCUGAGCUAUGUGAUGAUAUGGACUAGGUGCAAAUGGGUGGUUAAUGGCAAGGAAAGGGGCGUCAGACAAAGCCCAAUGGCAACUGCUGACAUGCGAUUAAAUUCAGAUCCACAUCCGGCCAUUCAAUAAUACGGUUGGAGUUGUGGCACAGAUAUAUUAUUGCAUGAUCAUCAAGAUAAGAUCGUACAGUGACUGAGUGAGACAAUAAAUAGCCAAGUAAACUAUUUUAUCCUGCUGCAAGCUGCAUUCAUAAGUUUAUUUCACCUUUGAUCACAAUACUCUUCACACACGUACGUCUCAGGGAGAUCUCACUUCCGCUGGACUGCUCACUUCCGCUGUCGUCGGUACUGCCAAAGACAUAAGCUCACAUCUGCUAUUGCGGAGCAGGCCAAUUUGCUGCGGAACUUCGGCGACGACCUGAAGGACAUGAACUCGGUGCUGGAGUCCAUCUCAGCAGCGCUCUAGGACGCUGACACCGGUAGAAAAACGACCUUCCAUCGUCAACAAAAAUCCCGGUAGCUUUUUUACUCGGUACUAAAGAGGUUUUAAUCUCGUGCAAACACCUUUAGUCCGGAUUGCUGUUACCACGCAACCCGAACUAAAGCGUCCCCCACGAGUUACUAUAUAAGGAUUGCAUCCUUUACUCAGUCAGAUAUAAUGUGUAGGUGAGAUGGUAAGGAAGCUAUACGUGAGGCUUCAGGUUGUGGGUUCGAAUCCAAGGAGAAGUGGGUGCAGCUGUGGCUUAAGCGGCUGAGGCACGCCGCCAUAGACAUCUCAGAUUUGCUCGAAGACUACCAAGACACUAGUGAACCCUUAACAGUAAAGGUGAGUACUUAUGAAUGUCAGCAUCCAUGUUGUCCAUGCUUCCAAUGUAAUAACAAGAUGGACUACUCUUCCUAGCGGACUCUUCACAACCACUCGUAAAGCUAUACGUUUCUCAAUGCAAUUUCGUAGAAGCCAAUCGAUCCAACCAAGUGACUAAAUCAUUCAUCCUUUCCAAUGAUGUGCAUCAGGUUUUCUACAUGAAGGGCAUCUCUAGCAAACCCAAGAUUUCAGAAGAAAAAGAAAAAUCAUUGGAGCCAAAGAGCCACAUAGUUCUUCCAGGAAAAAAAAAUCAUGGGAGUCGAGAACAAAUCAAACCAAUCAGAGGAUUAUGGUCAGCUUAAUGGCAUGCCUCCAUUCGAUGUCGAAGUUCACCCAAGCAUCAUGUUAGCCAAACAUCAAAUGUUCGUGCGUUGUUACGGUAAAGAUCAAUUGUGUUUUUUAAACUCAUGGAAUUUUUUUUCUAAGUUUUUAUUACACUUAUUGGAUGUCUACACAUUUGCUAGAAAACCAAAAUAAUUUGGACUUAAUUAUUUCUUUCAACUGAAGUACUCACUAAAUUUCUACCUUUUUAUUUAAGCAAGAGAGUUGCUAAAAAAAAUGGAUACAUAACCAUGUUGUAUCGUACAAAGCAACCACAUUUCACAUAUAGUCCGGCUUACCAAACACCAUUUUUUACUGAACAUAGCGUACAUGAGUUAAGAGACAUGGAUUUAUUUCUAUUGCAAGUAGCAUAGCGUACAACCUGCCUGCACCGAUGCAGCUCAAUAUGCGAUAAUUUUUAUCUUCCCAUGUAAUUUUUCUACUCUAGUACAUAUUGAACUCCACAUUAAUGUCAUGUUCUUUGGCGCCCCAGACGGUUCCUAAAGUUUGGAAACAAAAUAGAUAGCCAGAAAUUUUUUUAAAAAAUAUUUAUAUGGAUAUUUGUAUGUUCUUUGCAAACUAACAAUAUUGUUUACCAAUAUCAAAAGGAAUAUGGCUAGGAGCCAUUGCCGCAUAUGGCAGGUGAUGGUAGAUGGCGUAUGGGAUUUCGUUAAUUUAAUGGUAUAAUAAGCUGAAAUACAUUUUCUAUUUGCAAAUGAAUCAUAGCUGAAAGUGGUGAGAUUGUUUUUUCGCCGGUUUAGCAUCCUGUGCACCGGUUCAACUGGAGGGAAGCGGUUCACCGAGACGGAUGACAAUUUUACGGCAGAAUCAUUACUUGUUUUAUUAUUAGGUGAAGAUUUUAGCUUUUAGGUAUCUCACAUUAACAAUCUGUUUCUAGUGUAUAAUGUAGGAGACCCGUAAAGAGUCUACACACACAUAUAUAUGUUGACUAUGAAUGUAAGUUUGUUGGUUUUAUGUAUGUUCAUUUGGAGUUUAUAUAAAUUUUACAUUUUAUAGUUUUGUGUAUAUGACGAAGAUCCAUGACUUGCAUUAAUUUAACCUUUCUUCCAACAACUCUUAUGCAUGCUGUUUCUAGGGGAGCGCACUGGUUGCAAUUUUGGUCCCCGAUAUAGCAUGAGGACUUAAGGGAGACGGGCACGUCGUAACCUUAGAUAUUUUUGCAAGAAGCAAAUUAUACUUUGCUUUUGAUUUUCUCCAUGCCAUUUGCUGACUCUUAUCCCUUUUAUUUAUCAUUAUAAGAUGAAAAUAUUGUAAAAACUUGGUUACGUGCGGUCGCAGAAGCUAGAGACUAUUUCUUUUUUUAAAAAUACGCAAGAGGGAGAAACUUGGUAACAGCUAGACAGUGAAGAUCGCAUUUCAUAAGAAAGAUGGUGCACGUUCUUGUUUGGCUGUUAACGAAAUGACUUCGUUUCACCACACCACCAGAGAGCCCCAUUGCACUUGCAGCAAAAGCGUGGAGCCGCUUUCAACCAGCGUGCAAUAAUGCAGUCCCGCGUGUCUUGGUCUUACAGGAUAUUUGGUUCUUUAGUCCGGACUAAAAUUCAUGUCGCAUAGAAUAUUCAGAUGUUAAAUAGGAGGACUAAACAUGAGCUAAUUAUAAAAAUAAUUACACAAAUGGAGGCUAAUUCCCAAGACAAAUCUAUUAAGUCUAAUUAAUCCAUCAUUAGCACAUGUUUACCGUAGCACCGUAUUGUCAAAUCAUGGACUAAUUAGGCUUAAUAAAUUCGUCUCGCAAGUUAGUCUCCAUCUAUACAAUUUGUUUUAUAAUUAGUCAAUGUUUAAUACUCUAUCUAAACAUUCAAUGUGACUGAAAUUUUAGGAGGUCCUAAAGAACCAAACACCCCUUAGUCUCCGCCUGAACUAUAGCAGGUGCUGGCAGCGGUAGCAGGGUCGUCCAUUAUAUCUAUGGAUGGAAAUGAUCUGAUUCGGAUGGAAUCGAAUUCGAAUAGCACUUUUUACCACAUACUAAUCUGAAUUGGAUGUUCUCGAAUGUGAAUGCAAAACGGAUAGUUCAAAUUUGAAUACUUUGCGGAUUUUUGCAUAAUAUUAAUCGAAGAGAAUUUGUUAAAUUUAGCCGAGACAUAAAUUUUUCUAAAUUCAAAUACUUUGCAGAUUUUCGAAUGCAAAUUUUUUCAUACGAUCUCGGUUGAAUACAAACUUUAUAUCAAAGUUGUAUAUUUAGAUUAUAUAUAAAACUUUGUAGUUGACCUCCUUUUCAUUUAAAAUUUUUUAAUAGCUCAAAACAUUAUUCUAAGCUUUCUAAUUUCAAAAUCUUGAAUUUUAAAUUUUUCAAACGACCUCGGAUGCAAACAAGCUCUAUAUCAAAGUGCUUAAUGAGAUAUAAAAUUUUGUAGUUGACAAGUUUUUUAGUUGAAAACAUUUAGUUAUCACAAACAUACAAGUUCUUCAUUUGAUGUCGAGGAUUGGAAGUGUUGAGUUUGAAGAAUAUAUUCUUUGAUUACAAACUUUUCCAUAUGAUCUUGGAUGAAUACGAACUUUAUUUCAAAGUUGCAAAUUUAGAUUAGACCAAAAACAGUAUAGUUUACAAUUUUUUCAUUCAAAAUUAUUUAGUAGCUCAAAAUGUUAUUCUAAACUCUCUAAUUUUGAAAUCUUGAAUUUUAAAAUUUUCAAAUGACCUCGGAUGCAAACAAGCUCUAUAUCGAAGUGGUAGUUCUUAAUGAGAUAUAAAAUUUUGUAGUUCCAUCUGAGAUCAUUUAACAGUCACAAAUAUACAAGUUUUUCAUAUGAUGCUAAGGAUCAGAAAGAUUAAGUUUGAAGGCUGUAUUUUUUUAAUACAAAUUUUUGCAUACGAUCUCGGAUGAAUACAAACUUUAUAUCAAAAUUGUAGAGCUCGAUGAGAAUUUAAACUUUGUAGUUGAUAUAUUUUUCAUUCGAGAAUGUUUAGUGGUCCAAACAUGUAUUAUAAGUUCAGAGAAGAAACACACAAUCGGCCACGUCAUCAAUUGACAACUUCCAAACUGAGCAUUCCUAUUGGUUCACACCUUUCCCUUUCAACUCGUCAAGCUUAUCUCCUCCCACUCCUCCAUCGUUCACUCCCCCUUCCCCUUCCUCUCUCCCUCCCUCCCUCCGCUCCAGCAGUGGCAGCCCGACCUGCCUCCUAGGACGGUGGUGUGCGGGGCUCGGGCAUCCCUGGCCUCUAGUGGCGUGGCAGGGCGGCCUCCAGCAGCGAUGGCGGAACUCGGCCUCCGGUGGCGCACAGGCAGCGCAGCCUACCUGGUCAAAGGCGGCGCAACAGGGCGACCUCCCCAGCCUCCGGCGGCGCGCAGGGCAUCCAUGACCUCCCCGGCCUCCCUUGCCAGAGGUGGUGCGCGGGGCUGCGCCGACCUCCCCAACCAGAGGUGGCAAGGCCCCAGCUUACGGCGGCGCGUGGCUCCCCAGCUAGGGUGUGGUGGGGCGGCGGCAAGUCAGGCGUGGCCGCGUGGGGGUGGGGGGAGGGGGUUGGGCUGGGCGGAUUCAGAUAGUAUCCAUUUAACCAUCCGAAAUGUGGAUAUCCGUUUAACAAUCCGUUUAGCAAAACCGAAUUUGGAUACUUCCACUUAAGUAUCCAACUAGGAUUCGAAUGCGGAUGGUCCUACCAUAUUGUUAUUUCAGCGGAUACGAAUAUGGGAUAAUUCGAAUAACGACUUACCCAUCCCUGAUUAUAUCCGUGUAAAUAAAUAAUUGCGGCAGCAGGUUCCCGUCGCCACGCCCCCGUCAAACCAAACAAUUGCUUGCGCGACACCGUGUUACUAGAUCUUGUACAGUACUCCCUCCGUUGCAGUACUCCCUAAUGAAAGUUGAGAAUCGAUCGACAACCACGGCUAGUUGCUAUGCACUCGAUCAGAUGGUCCAGGCGCCCGCUGGUAAUCAGGUCGUGGUUCACGCGCAUCAGGCCAGCUAUGACGUUGCCAGCAGUGCUCAGUACACAAAUCUAGCUAUCAGUCGGAUCCAAUUGGGCAGGCAUUUGCACUGUGGUUGUGUUUGAACCUGUAGAUGUCGUUGUCAUUAUCAGGCACCAUACAUCCUCUCUCAGAGGGUGUUUCACCCCCUAAACUUUAGCCCCUCUCACAUCGAAUGUUUUAGAUACUAAUUAGGAAUAUUAAACAUAGAAAAUUUACUAAACCCAUUACAUGGAUGGAGGGUAAACGGCGAGACAAAUCUAUUAAAUCUAAUUAGUCCAUGAUUUGACAAUGUGCUGCUAUAGUAACUAUUUGCUAAUGAUGGAUUAAUUAGACUUAAUAGAUUUUUCUUGCUGUUUAGCCUCCGUCUGUGCAAUUAGUUUUAUAAUUAAUUCAUAUUUAGUCCUCCUAAUUAGUCUCCGAAUAUUUGAUGUGACACGGACUAAACUUUAGAUAGCACACCAGGGACCGACACCAUGCAUGCUGAUUUCAUAUCAUAAUUAAGGAAAGUGAUAUCAUAAUUAAGGAAAGUGGUAGCAUCCAAGAAAUCGAUCAUGUUUCUUCCCCCUUUGGCUUUCCUACUAGGAUUUGGAUAGCGGGCCUUCCUACUAGGAUUUGGAAUCCGCUAUCGCAUGACUAUCUUAAUUAUGUCCCAUAGUCCAAAACUCACAAAACAUCAAAAAUCCAUCGAGAAUAAAUUAAGUAAAAAACAUGCGCACACAGAUAAUAAUAAUAAUAAUCAUGUUUCAAUAAAAUUGCUAAGAUUAGAGAUAGUACAUAAACAUAUUAGAUUGUUCGUGACACAUAUCAUGGUGGAUAGUGUCUGUGUCCUUAUUACAAGCAGCGAUAGAUGCUUGUCACCACACACACGCACGCACAGAUGCACGACAUACAUAUAGUUGAGACCAACGGAUGGACGUCCCAUAGGGUGAAUAAUUUAUUGGAGAUAAAUAUUAACAUAACUUGGCCAUAGCUUGAAGCAUAGCAACAUAUGCUUAUGAAUGGCAUUCAUGCGGGUAGCAAUGCUAUCAUAUGCUUUUAGGCUUGUCCUUAGCUUCUUCCAUCUUAUAGCAAACACUGCCAUUUCUUCCAUCUUAGCAGCAACUGUCAAAUUAAUUGAGAUAUGGAAAUCCCAUUAGCGCAUGAGUUAAUUUUGCAGUGGAAAUAGAGUAGAAGAUGUCUUCAUAAUGUAAGUAAUAUGACUCUGACAUAGGGAGUGAAGUCAACAAAUUACAUUAACGGAAAUGCAUGGAAGGCCACGCAUAUGUAUUAGUCCGAUAUGCUACAAAGCUUGUAUGUACAUAUAAUAAAUUAAAUGCAUUGAAUAGAGUGAUUUUAGUGAAUUUACCUAAAUCGGAUUAAAAAACAUGGGAAACAACAAGUGUUCUUGUAGGGCUUUGUUUAGUUCCCAAAUUGGGAGUAGCAAAGUUUGCAUUUUACCAUAAAUGCGCAACUAUAGCAUGUAGCAUUUUGUUUGUAUUUGUGAAUUAUUAUCCAAACAUUGACUAAUUAGGCUCAAAAGAUUCAUCUCGCAAAGUACAACAAAACUGUGCAAUUAGUUUUUGAUUUCGUCUACAUUUAGUACUCCGUGCAUGUACCGCAAGUUUGAUGUGAUGGGGAAUCUUGCUUUUCAAUAGUGACAAAGUUGGGAUUUCGGGGGGAAGGCCUGUGUCGGAGCCACAUGCAAGAAUGGCUGACAUUGAGGCUCAGACAAAGCCCAAUGGCAACUGCUGACAUGCGAUUAAAUUUAGAUAUCCACAUCCAGCCAUUCACAUUUAUGAGAUAUGGACACGGUGCAAAUGGGUGGGGUCCUGAUAUGGAGGUGCGAAUGGCUGUCUACUUGUAUAGUGUAGCUCCAAUGUACGUAUAUGUAUCUUAUGCAUGUAUACAGUUGCACAAACUCUGAACCAACUCUUCAUAACAGGUCUUUGUUACCAAGUAACUUUACUUUUGCACGUUUCAGCCGAGAGGUAGAAGAGAAUAUUUUUGCAUUUUCCAUGUGCGUCAGUGGUAGAGAACUAGGAAUUAGUUCCGGAUGGUAGGGCACAAAUCUUCCAAACAACUAUCCGAAAUUAAGCAAUCGAGAUAAAGGGUGCCAUCUAUUCUCUCCGAAAAACACAGGUACCAAAAAGAAGAAGAGAAGAGGGAGGGCCUCCCGUUAAGGCCCGCUCGGGGUCUCCAUCCCACCACGCGCCCUCCCAACCCAAAGCCCAUCGUUUUCCCUCCGUCCCUCCCCUCUCCAUUGCCGCCGCCGCUCCCCUCAUCCGAGCUCGAUACGGGUGGUCGGCGGCCCCUCCUCUCCGCUCCCGCCCCCGGCCUCCCUUUGACCGCCGGGCGCCGGCAUCACUGCCGCGGCCAACCCCAGGGCGCAGCGCGUGCCUCUAUUUCUCUCCCCCGUUCAAGGGCCCUUUGAUGGCGACGAGCACCCACCCACCAGGUAUGCCCUCCCCUUCUCUUCCUAACCCUAAUAUAUUCGGAUCUCACCCAGUCACAAUAUAUUACCUAAUAGCUUCGAUUUUGUUUGCAAAAAUCAUCACGUGCGCACCCAUGUCCGCUAGAUUCUUGCGCCUGAUCCUGUGCUGCUAUGGUUUGGGCGGGGUAGACUAGUUGAUUCGUGCACUUUUGGGUGCUUGUAGUGCUAGGUUUUGGAGGGGGAUAGCCCAGUUGAUUCCUCCGUUUUGGGUGCUCAUGGUGAUAGGAUUUGGAUGGGGAUAGCCCCAAUGAUUCGUGCGCCUUUGGGUGCUGGGGAUAGUUUUGGGUGCCUGGAUAGUCCAGUUUCAAUGUCAGUAUAUGCGUAUUUUGGGGAGAAUUUUGUUUUGGGUGGUUCUGGUGCUAGAGUUUCUGAUGCUUAGUAGCCCAGUUUCAAUCAAAUUCCCCCAUGGGUCGUGCACUACGGGAAACAAGAAAAUUGCCGAGUGUAUUUUUUUUGUCGAGUGUUUUUUUUCGAGCACUCAGCAAACAAGCUCUUCGCCGAGUGCCAAGUCAAAAACACUCGGCAAAAAAAAACACUCGGCAAAUCGGGGCUUUGCCGAGUGUCAAAUAAAAAACACUCGGCAAAGAAGGGGGUUUGCCGAGUGUUAAAAAAAACACUCGGCAAACAGGAGGGUUUGCCUAGUGUUUUUUUGACACUCGGCAAAAAAAUAAUUGUUUUUCCUCUUUUCACCUUGAAAUUUUUUCUACUCCCCACAUACAACACGUGGUACUCCAUGUUAAAAUUUGGUAUAUUUUUGGAUUUAUUUGCUAUAUUUAUUUAAUUAAUUGCAUUACAAGGAAAUUUUUGGUAUAAGUCAAAUUUGAACUGCAAGUGAUUCAAAUUGUGGAACAAAAUGAGUAGAAAAAUGAUAUUCAUGUUAUUUGGCUCAAUUUGAGACCUGACCCAUGAAAUGAAAAGAAAUUUCGAACAUCUUGUUCAGGAAACACGACAAUGAACAUGUGGCGGUAGUAUUUUUAAAUUGUAAAAAAAACAAGCAAAGUCUGAAAAUCAUGAGAUUUGUAGUUAUGUGAUGAUAUAAUACGUGGAAGCUGUGGAAAAAAAUUGGAAAGGUUUUGCACAUUUCAUCAUGUACGAUGAUUACAAACCGAAGCAUAUCAGAAGAAGAAUAGUAACUUUGAGAAGGAUUCGAUAAAAUUUAGAGUCGAAGUGACGGUCGAGUUCGGUUUGACUACAAAACUUUUUGUAUAGUCAGUAGAGAACAUAUCUUAUUUCGUGUGAAAAUUUGGUAUUUUUUGAAACUGUUGGAUAUUUUUAAUUUUUUUUUAAAAAAACUUUGCCGAGUGUCCUAGGGUAGACACUCGGCAAAGAAAAACUUUACCGAGUGCCCGCCUAGGACACUCAGCGAACCUUUUUUUAAACCUACCGGCUCCGGCCGGCCCAGCCCACAAACACCACCCGCCCCCCGCCCCCGCGCCUUCUUCCUCACGCCGCCCCCGCCCCCCACCCGUGCCUCCGGACCGCCCCCUCCUCCCCCUGGCCUCCCCUCACGCCGCCCCCCUCCUCCCCUAGCUCCCUCCACCGGCGGCCCUCCCUCCCCCGGCGCACAUCCUCCACUCCUCCUCCCCUUCCCUUCCCUCCCCUCCCCUCCCCUCUUCCUCCCCUGGCCGGAUCUGGCGCCCCUAGCUCCCCUUUCUUCCGCGGCCAGAUCUGGCGCCCUCCCGGCGGCGGGUCGUGGCGAUCGGGGCGGCGGCGGCGGAUCAGGCCGCGGGGCGGCGGCGGCGGCGGGUCGUGGCUACCGGGGCGGCGCCCUGCCCCUCCCCUCCCUCUCCAUCUCCGGCUGCCGUCCACCCCCUCCCCGGAUCCGCCCCCCUCCCCUCCGCGCGGCCAGCCCCUCCUCCCUCUCCGGCCGCCGCCCCGGCCCCUCCUCUCCCUUUCUCCGGCCACCGCCCCGCCCAUCUUCUCUGGAUCCGGCCGGAUCCGGCCGCCGCACAGCCCCUCCUCCCCGGAUCCGGUGGGCGCGGACUUCGUGGUGGUGGCGCCGGAUCCCUCCCCUCCCUCUCCAGAUAACUCCCUCCACUCCUCCGCUCUUCCCCUCUCUCGCGCGGCGGCCUCUCUCCGGCCGCCGCCCCGCCCCUCUCCCCGGAUCCGGGGGGGGGGGGACUCCGCCCCUCUGCCCCGGAUCCAGCUCCCCGACCCGCGAGUGGGGCGAGCUUGCUCAUGCGGUCGACGUCGAGGCCAGGGUGUGGUGGAGGUGGUGGCCGGCGGGUGUGGUGGUGGUGGCGGCGGCGGGCAUGGCGGCGCGGAGGCAAGGCACGGCGGCCGGUGGGAGGCACGGGUGCAAGGCGUCGACGGCAGGAGGCAAGGCACGGCAGCAUGGGAGGUGGUGCUGUGGUGGUGGUGCUGGCGGUGGUGGCGGCGGCGGAGCAGGAUGUGGUGGUGGCGGAGGAUGUUUUUUUUUCAAAAAUUUGUUGCCGAGUGUUUUCUCGGCACUCGGCAAAGACUUUACCGAGUGCCCGACACAAAACACUCGGCAACUCAGUGUUUGCCGACUGAAAAAUUGCCGUGUGCCGUUUGCCGAGUGUUACACUCGGCAAACGGUUCGCCGAGGGUUUUUUGCCCUUCGCCGAGUGCCCCUAGCACUCGGCAAUUUCACUAUCUCCCGUAGUGGUGGCUGGACUUAUGGGGGGAUCAUUGAUGGGGGACUAGUUGGAUACUUUUUGGCUGUUUUGGGAGUCCUUGGCAGCGGCUUCUCAGGGCGUACGUAGCCCAUUGUAGAUUCCAGCCGAGAAGAUUAAGGAAUUGUGACUGCAACCAUGUUACUUUUCUAGGACUCUGUUUCUGAUAUUGUUCCCGCUGCAUCUUUUCAUCCCCAUGGUGAAUGUUGCUGUUGAUCUGUAGAUUGGAUUUGUUCCUCGGUAGCUUUAUUAGAUUUGUGCUGAAUGAUAAUCUCUGCCUGUGAUAUUUUUCUUCAUUGCGGAUGUGUGCCGAGUAUUAUCCCCUUUGUUCAUUCUGUUGGCUUUUUUUAUUGUCUCUGUACUCGGCUGUUCAGCUUGUGCAGCUAAUGAUCUAAUGUAUUUUGUCGUAACUAUGUAUUUUUCGGAUGUGUGCCGAGUAUUAUCCCCUUUGUUUAUUCUGUUGGCUUGCUUUCAUUGAUCUUAAGAUAACUGGUGCUAUAAAUUCACACUAGCUGAUGCACUUGCAAAUAGCUAUGUAAAUAUGAAAAGAAGUAUUUUUUUAUCCUUUUGUUUGUUUGGCAUCAUAUCUGUUUAAAUGGCAUAGCAAUAAGAAUUUUUUGUUUUUGGGGAAUCAUAUCUGCUUAAAUGGUAUAGAAAAUGCUGAGUGCACUGUCAAAUAGAUUUUCCAGCAGUCUGCUUUCAGUUGUUUUUGCAAAUCCUCACAGGCCAGUGAACUGACUUUGUUUUUACCACCCCAUGCCAUUUAAAUGACUAAAUCAGUCAGCCUAAUACUAUAUAUGGUCAUGCUAUGAUCUUAUUUCUUGAAGCUCUAUAGGUCAACCCAUAAGGGUAACUUAGUUUUUCCUAUUCUGGCUGGGGAAGUGGAUACGAUGGCUAUCCUUGGUAGAGUUAAAUACAUUGGCGGCUCUUAGCGCGCCAAUGUGGCACCACAAUAUCGAACAUAUGUAGAAACCCCCUUGUUUUUUCUCAUAUCCCUCUCUCUCAGCGUCCUCUUCUCUUCUUCUCCUCUGUCUCCUCCCCUCCCAUCGCGUGCUUUAUUGCGCCGCCGCCAUCCGCCUCCAUGUAUGAACACGUCGUUUGUCAUGAAGAAGCAGUUGAUGAGGCAAUCAAGCAUGUGGUGCACAAGGUUCUUCUGCUGGCCAAGUCCGAGUCGAACAGCCGCGCAUUCAUUGGGGAAGCACGCGCCAGGCAUCACCAGGCUCCUCGUGCCCCUACUCUGCUCCAAGGACUCGGUGCUUCGACGCGCUGCUUUCCCUGUCCGGCGAGCGGGGAUCGUUGGGAGAUGAUCGAUGGAGGAUGGAGCUGAUCCUCCUGUACACGGUGCCGGUGGGGAGCAGGGAGCUGCGGAGCAGGUCCACGGGCGGCGCCAUUACAGCAGGUGCAGGCUAAGGGUAAUGAGCAGAUCGAGGCGAUGGAGGAGGACCCGCACGAGGUGCAGCUUCUUCGCCUCCUGCGCAAAGUCAGCGCCCAAGCAGCCGCUGAGGGACAGGCCGAGGCUUAGCUCGAUCUCAUCCGACUAAAUGGUGGCUGCACUCCCACAGUCCCACUGGUGCUCCUCCCUUCUGUCCGAACCUGCCGAGGAAAUCCCUCGAUGCCAUGGGUCCCGGCUGGACGACUACUCCUCCCACAGAUUGACUGAGGAAGAAGAGCUUCUCAGUGUCCAAAAAUUCAGUUACACUGGAAACAGCAACCAAUUACGUUCUUCCGGCUCAGCCAAGCCCCAAUCUCCUUGCUUCUGUGCGCCCCUGCUAAAUAUUCCAGAAACCAAUCUGGUUAGUUGUUUUUUCACAUUUUCAGUGCAUGCCGGUGCUGCUGUGUGCGGCAUGCAUGGAGUUGUCGUGGGAGUGCACGGUGGCUUAGCUGGUGCGCCAGUGCGCGGGCACGAACACAACGGUGAAGAUGGCAGGGCCAUCUCAAAGCUCCUGAGCACCUGCACGCGUCGCUGAGCAGGACAUGCUGCGACGGUGGGCGAGCGCUGCUAACGCCCUGGGGAAGAGCAGUGGGUGCAGAGAGAGGGAGCGAGGGAGAGGGGUUCUUGUAUAUGUUUGCUAGCGUGGCACCGUUUACGGUGCCCGCCUAAGUGGCAUUCACGUGUCAUUCAUCCCAAAUGGUGUUGCAAGGUUGAACCUAUUGUGGGAGGCUUUUGGUUUCCCUUGACAGUAUCACCAGUGAUAUCACUGCGUUCUGGUUAUGUAUGAAACACUUGUCCUUUUAAAACCUUUCUGAAUUUAGAAACGAAUUUGAAACAUUACCCUCAUUUCCAUGUUUUUCUAUCUUUUGUCCCUGUAAAAUCAAACUAAAUUUGAAUUAUUAUGUUCAGAACUACAAGCUGAUUUACUUGUCCCAUUUGCUAAUAACAGGGCCUUGUGAUUUCUAAUGAACAUUGCAGAGCAUGUUAUAAAGCGUAUGCAUGAACACCAAGGGGAUGAAACCAUUGGUAUAUUUCUCACAACCUUUUGAACUUAUCAUUUAGCAUAUUUGUGUUCUAGUGUGACGUUUCAGCCACGAGACAUGAGAAAUGUUAGCUAUGGAUUUUGGUUAUUCAUCAUGGGUUCACAGAUUUGUUUUUCUCUAAAAGAAUUGGGAAGUAGCUUUCUUUCUGGGUAUAUGUGGGGAAAUGCAUAUGCAAUCUUUUAUUUAUUGAGGUGACUGUAAAAUUCUUGUCUGACUGAAUAUGCGAUUUCAACCUACAUGCUAUACUUAGGGAAAUUUGUGAAUCUCCUAAUGUCUGCUGCAUGGCAUGAAUGCAUAUUUUACUGGUCCAUAAUGUGAAGUUCUGUAUAUAAACUUCUCGUGUUGACCCUUUAGAACAUGCUAACUGGAGAGUUUUCUAGAGUAGUUAAACAAGAGAUUUAGUUAAAUCUGCACACAUAGGUGGGGCCUGGCAUACCCUAAGAAUCGGCCUAGCCGGUCAGCCCAUUAGUAAAAAAAAAAGCACCGCAGUCAGCAGUCCCCACGUUGGUCUUCCUCGAGUCGCGACUCGCGAAGCUCCCAUCCUCCGAGUCCAAGAUGGUGGACUGUGUCGAGCGCGGGGCGGGCGAUUAGUUGCCCGGCCGCCGGCGGGGGAUGGCCGGACGGCCAGAUCGCCGACUCCUCUAGUCCUCCCUCCAGCCUCUGCGCUUCUUUCACAGUGGAGCUAGCGGCGAGGCGCCCGACCGACACCCUUCUUCCCAAAUCCCGGCAGCCCUACCUCGAUUUGGCCUCCUCCGAUCAUUUGAUAAUCAAUUUGAUGAAAUUAAUAUGGAGUUGCUUUCUUGUAUGGUUGCCUUCAAUCCUGCUAAUUCAUUUGCUUCAUUUGAUGCACAAAAGAUACAUAGACUUGCUAUAUUUUUAUCCACAAGACAUCACAAGCACGGAUUUGCUAAAACUUGAAUUCCAGCUCGAUAUUAUAUUGAUGAUGUGAGAUAGGAUGAUAGUUUCAAAGGCCUACAAGAUCUUGUUAACUGAGACUCAGUUAAGCUUGUUGAAACAAACAGGCAUAAUAUUUAUGACUUGGUUUACUUGCUUCUCAAAUUGGUAUUGGUUCUUCUUGUGGCGACAGCUAGUGUUGAAAGGGAUUUUUGUGCAAUGACUUUGAUCAAGAGUAAGCUAAGAAAUAAGAUGGGUGAUAGUCUUUUGGAUGAUUGUCUUAUCACAUUCAUUGAGAAAGAUAUUUUCUUUGAAGUGGAUGAAGAAGAUAUAAUUAAGACUUCAUAUCCAUUAGAAAUCGUAGGCUGGAGAAGAAGUAAUAUUUUAAUUUUCUUUGAACGUUAGGUCUGUAAGCUUCUUUUAAACUAUCUACAUUAUAAUUUAUGGACCUUUUAAUUUAACCGUUGAAUUCAUGAUAUUAUGAGAUUUUUUUAUCUAUGUUAUUAUUGUUUACCGAUUUAUUACCAAAUUAUUAGUUUGAUCUUACAAUAUUGUAUUUUGGAUGAUUGGCUCGGCAUACUCUAAGUUUAAAUCCUAGCUCCGCCACUGUUUGCACAUUAAUGUGGCUUAUAUGUGUGGAGUCACUUAACCUAUGCACUUGGACCUCCACUCCCUUAGGUUUUAUGAACCUAAUUUGACAGCCUGCUCGUCUUUUAUUUUCUACCAAUCAGCUAGGAACGAACAUGGUGAUGUUUGCAUCUCUGCCAUCAAUGGCUUACAUGUCAUUAUGUAUCACAUUAGCAAGUCUUGUUUUGUUAUUGGCUGGGAUGACGGGGACUCUAGCUGGAAUUGAAUCAAAGUGGUAGAUCACAGGGUAUUCAUUGCCAUGUAUUUCUGCAGUUGCAUGGACUUGCAUCAAACGGACCUUCCUACUUAUGUGAUUGUCCUAUAUGAUCUCCUUUGAUUUCAUUUGCACACUGUAAUCACAUUAGCUAGAACACUCGCUUUUUGCUUCAAAUUUGAAAUUCAUAUCAUGAUGGACUAGAACGCUGAAUUUCUUGAUUGCUGAGUUACUAAUCACAUUGUGGCGCUGCCAAAGAAGCUGGACUCUUCAUUGUUGUUGCCUUGUGGGCUGCCGUGUGCAAAGAACAAGAGCGCACGGUAUUAUAAUAGCAGAGCAGAACACAGACAAGCGACAAGGAGCGGAGCAGAGCAGAGCACAGCCAGGCACAAGCAGUAGAGUAGAGCAGAGCAACCGGGAGAGGAGAGGGCACAUAUGCAGAGUAGAGCAGAGCCAAGCGCAAGCAUUCAUGCACUCAAGCAUGCAGCAGAGGUGUAGCAAGGCAAGCACAAGCAGCAGAGCAGAGGGAAGGGAAGGCUGGGAGAUGAAUAGGCGAAUAGUUACCUGGACAGAGCAGAGGGAAUGGAGAUGAUGCAGAUGCUUCCGGAGACUCGAGAUUUGGAGAGGAACAAGGCCACGUUGUGAACAAGGUCUCCUUUCUCUUCUCUAUUUCCCGCGCAAGUACUUGUGCAUAGUGGCUGCCUCAUCCUCCAGGACGUCCACUUCAACCUGAGGCGGGUGCCACAGACAUCCUGGCUAUGCGACGGCUACCCCCAGCACACCCCCGGCGCCUAUGAACCAUGAUCCUAAUACUAUAAAUUGUCAACCUUGUAAUCUUAUUUCAAGCAUGCUCUCUAUGUCAACCUGUAAGGUUAACUUCGUUUUUCCUUUUCUGGGUAGGGGAGUGGAUAUUGCUGUUAUUUAUAUUAUGUUGAUAUUGGUUUCCACAUGUCAUUCACCCCAAAUGUGUUGCAAGGUUGAACCUAUCAUCGGAGGAAUUUUUUUCCCUUUACCUUUAUAUCACUACGCUCUGGUUAUGUAUGAAACACUUGUCUUCUUAAAAACCUUAAUUUAGAAACAAAUUUGAAACACUAUCUUCAUUUACAUCCUGUAUGUGUUUUCUACCUUUUGUCCUAUAUGAUCUGCUUUGAUUUGAUUUGUGCAUAGUUUUUUCAAUUCAGACCUGGUGAUUUCUGAGGUUCAUGUUGUGCUGAUAAGCAGCCUACUAUUCAGUAACACUUUCAUGUGGCAUGUUCAUGUUAGCUAGCUAGAAACACUGCUUUUAGCUUCAAAAUUCAAAUUCAUGACAUGAUGGACAUUGACAAUGAAUUUCUUGAUUGCCGAGCUAUGUACACUGUAAUUCAGACCUGGUGCUUUUAGUUUUUUUCUUGAUUGCCGAGCUAGAAACACUGUGCUUUUAGUUUUUUCAAUUCAGACCUGGUGAUUUCGGUUUUUUCAAUUCAGACCUGGUGAUUUCUGAGGUUCACGUGUCACACCGAUUUUAAGAACAAAAUCGAGUGCAUUAAAUAUACAUGUACGCUAGGAUCAGGUUACACACAUGUACGACAUAAGCGAAUAUCAAAGACAAUGCCAUAACGAAAUAAAGAGAGUAUUAAUCAUUAUUACAUGACCGAAAGUCUCAAAUAAACCACAAAAUCUAUUUAUUACAUAGCGGAACUUCUAAGAUAGCAACGUCUCCACAGGCAGCUGACUGAAGAACUGUAUGCCUAGAACUCUUCAAAAUCGUGCAGGUACUCCUCCAGAUUAGCUUGGUAUGAACAACGGUUUUGCAAGGGUGAGUACACUUAUGGUUGGUACUUAAUAAGUCGUGGGAAACAAUGUAGUGUAAGGCAAAUCAAGGUAUGGCUAAGGCUUAAACAGCAUCAGCUUUUAAUUUAGUUGGUCAAAUUUUAUUAGCAAUUAAUUAGACGUAAAUUUAUACCACCCGAAAUUAAACAAGAACAUGAAUAAAAUAAUAACAUAACCAUAAAUGAAAUGACAACAAUUUAAAUCCAUCUUUUCAUAGCAUUAUCAUGUGAGGGUCCAGUCCGUUCUUAACCGUGAGCACCGCUGAUCGAUCAGUUUUACACUCUGCAGAGGUUGUACAUCUUUACCCACAAGUCGCGUAAAAGUUCAAAAGAAUUUUGGACCCAACCAUGCGGUAUUUGCAAGGCACCAUACCACACUUCCAAGGUGUGAUUGCAUAUGAACGCUACGAGGCCUUUACAAAGAUUCAUUAGUAAGUGGUAACCCGCUAAGGUUUCGGUAUUUGGCGUGCACAACCUAUCACAGGCCGCUAAUGCAACGACUCAGUCCCCCCUCUUGCCUCAUCACGAGUAAGAUUACCCCAGACUAAGGUUUCUAAUUAUUCAGCCAAGAUCAGAACCAUUUAGUCUUGUGGUAGCACUGUUUUCCUGGGUGGUUCUCCAUGUUCCGAUUAAACAUAAUGGUCUUGUAUUAAUGGAAGGUAUAACAUAAAUAAUACCAAAUUAAUAAUAAUUCAGAUUAAAUCACCAUAACCAUAUUUGAGCACUAAGCAUGAGCUACCCAACAUAAAUUUAACCCGGUUGGUCAAGGCAAGGUAGAUAAAGUCUAGGAAAUUCUUAAUUGGGACCCAUCAAGUUUAAAUUAUACUUUGCAUGGUAUGUUGCAUAGAACAUGAAAGUAAAUGUGAAUAGGACUGAAAAGGAGUGAUUAGGGACACGACUUGCCUUUUUAACCUUGUUCUUGCUGUUCGUACUCUUCGAAAACUUUGAUCUUCAAAUCCCUUGAACUGCUGACCGUCUACACGCGUCACACGACCACAUACAAGCAAACAAAUAUAAUACAUAAGAAAACAGUACACCAAUCAUAAUUAAAUAGAAGAAACAAAUUUGAAAAGCUAUUCUACGCAUUAAAACGAAAACACGGAUACAAGGAACGUUAAAAACGGAGCUACAGUGCAAAAACUACGCUUAAAACAAGAUGCAGGGGUAUAACUACGAGAAACCAAACUUCCAGGGAUUUAAUUUUAAAUAAUUUUGAACUGCAGAAGGGGCAGCAGGGCAAAACGUAGAAAAUGCAGGGGCUUAAGCGCAAAAGCAUGGCUGCUGACUCAGCUGACUUGAUGUGGAUCGUCGGAUGGCGAUCCGGCGGCCGGCAGCUGCUGCGCUGACGUCAGCGACGGCGAGCGCCGGCGAAAAACGGCAGUUCGCCGGAAUCGCCCGGGAACGCGCGACUGGGUGCAGAUUUGAGCGAGGAUUAGACUAGCAGAUAGAAACGAGCGCAGUGAACUCAUUUGGGAUGCCUACGGCGAGGACUUGGCGACGGCAUCGGCUCCGGCGAGAACUUGCGGCAGGGAAACCAAAUAAAAUAAAAUAACACGGUUCAGAGAAGCGGCGCUGGAGGAACGCGAGCGAUUUUGCGUGCGAGCGGAAGAAAACACUGCGAGGAAGAUGACUGCGGGCCCUGCUUGUCUGCGGCAGGAGGAGAGCUGCGUGCGAGAAGAACCUGGCCACGAUCUGGGCCGUUGCCUUCGAUCUGGGCCGAGGCAAGCUAGCUGGCCCGCUGCUGCGGAAAGGUGCUGGGCCACGGGCGGAGCACAGCGUCGGGCCAGAAAGGAGAUGGCUGCUGCGAGGAAACAAAAGAAAAUGAACUGGGCUGCGACAGAGGAAAACUGGGCGUCGGCCAGAAAGAAGCUGCGUGCAGCUUGCUCUUGUUUCCGAACUAGAAACAGGAACUGACGGAAAGACAGAAAUCAAUUGGAGACUGAAACUGACGCCCCAGACUCUGAACUUCGAAAAAACAGGACAACCAGCCAACUGACAGAAAAAAAAAAGCUUAACAACCCAAAAGCAGUACACAACCACGAAACCAGGCCACAAGACUGAAAAAGCUUGAUAGGAACAUCUGGCGACUGAACCAAAAAACUACAGAACUGCAACUGAAGAACUAGAGAACAGAUAAAUAACUGAUUGAACUCUGAAACUGAAACACCAAAGAGCAGGAAGCUGACUGACGGAAAAUGCAAAACAGCAACCCAAGGUGAAACACAAAUUCUUCUUCAAGCAUUCAAACAAAGAGAUAUGCAACAGCAUGAAUGCUCAAUAAAAUCCUAUAUUUCAUUAAUUAAUUAGAAAAAAUGCUCAAAUGCCUAGAAAAAUGCAAAAGUGACCUUAUAUGCCUUAAACAAGCAAAUUCGUUUCUAGCGAUUUUUGGUAAAAUGCAAAAUUAGAGAUUUUGGGUGUUACAUCAUGUUGUGCUGAUAAGCAGCCUACUAUUCAGUAACACUUUCAUGUGGCAUGUUCAUGUUAGCUAGCUAGAAACACUGUGCUUUUAGCUUCAAAAUUAAAUUCAUGACAUGAUGGACAUUGACAAUGAAUUUCUUGAUUGCCGAGCUAUGUACACUGUAAUCACAUUGUGGGGCUGAUAAAAUAAGCAGCGUUGAGACACAUAACAAUUGAAUCUUAAGCUUCACACAGAAUCUGGACCAGUCAUCCUCAUUCCUGUCAUGCUGGAAAUGUCUUUGAUACAUUUCAAUCACAGGCAAUUGAAUUCGUACUGGGGAGGAUGGCAAUGGUGCAUGAAGAGAGAUCAAUGUGGCAAAUCUCACAUUGUUCAUUACCAGGUAUCUCCGAUUUCUGGUUAUUUUAAAUUUACCUUGACAUGUGACUUAUUGAGGUAUUGUAUUUCAUCUAAUGGUAGUUCUGAAUUUAUGGUAACCUUGGAUGGGGUUUGUCACUUUAUACACGCACGGACUUACAAAGGACAGCAAAUGAGUAUAUUUAGAGGGCUCCUGUCCAACCAUGGACUAUACUUAUGUACCCUUUUUUGACAUGGUAAUUUGAGGUUAAUGGAAAAGUAGCGAUAGUCGCCUCCAGCGAAGCUACCUUCUUCGAAAGCUCCGAGGCUGCUUUCUCGCUCUUAGCAAGCCGAUCCCUCGUAAUCAUCGAAGAGUAAGAGACCUACAGAUUUUAAAAACCAAGUUACCAAAAAUAACGAAGUAAAAGACAACACUCGCAAGACAAACCACCAAACUAUCUCAUAAUUGUACCUUCUUUACGAGGUUCGCCUCCAAGUUAAAGAGCUCUUCCAAGAUCAUUGACUUCACAGCUUGCUGAAAAUCUAUGCGCCAAAGGAUAUAGUCGUAAGCAUAAAAUAAAAAUUGGUAAAAACCAAGGACAGCAAAGCCAUCUACAAGCUGUUCUUACCCUCAUACUUUCGCACCUCAACGGCGAUCGGAACAACCUUCUCUCUAGCCUCGCCCUUAGACGCCACCACAAUCUUCCCGCCACACAAAUCCACAACCCCUCCUUUACCUUUGCCCUCUCCCGAAGUCGUCGUGCCCGCCUUCUCCACCCUUUUUGAACCGCCAACAUCUGCAUAGCGCUCGCAACCUUCACCUUCAGCCCCCCAGACCAAAGACAGGUUGUGAGGAUUAUAAACCCUACCUUCGGCGCAUGUAGCUAGAAUCUCCGUGCGCCCGCUCAAGCCCAGACACUCAUUCAGUCCCUGAAGCCCCGCCGGCAACCUCUCACCUACAUCAUAACAUUCAACUUUUAGCCUCACAUGAUCCUCACAACUAACCUUACCAACGCCCCCCAUAGUUUCUUCCAAGUCCUUCAAAAAUUUCGUUGAGGCCUCACCACAAUCAAAGAACCGUAGCAUCGAUAGAAACACCUCUACAUGCUUACCAGAUCUCACAGCUUCGGCACACCCACCCUUUGGAUCAGAUGAGAACGCAUCCACAAGCUUCGCCUUUUCGGUGGCAAACCCCCUCUCAAGUUUCCCAACAUCAGUCAAGAGAUGUUGCGCGCUCUUAAACUUCGAGCUUAUGGAAGGCACCGUGAUCUUGGUACCAGCUGCCGAAGACGCGUCAACCUUGGCACCCGUAACAGUAACAGGAGCAAAUCGAGGUUUCUUGGCGCCUCUUUUGAUCCGUGCGGCGGGCCCGGUGGAUGAAGGUGCAAGAGCUGGAACCUCCUUAGGAGGGCGCAUAGAGACAGGAACAACAUAUGCCGGAUUGCUCAAGUCGCCAGACGAAGCUGUCGACCACGAUGGCAACAUAGCAGACGAAGCCCCCGCGGUCAUUUCCUUCCUUUUUUGCGCCUCCAAAUUCAAGGUCUUUUGCUUCGCCUUAGCGGUCACUUGCAAUUCAAUAGUGAGCUUCACCAUGGGUACGAAGUCAAAUUUUGCCUUUUUCCUCUGCUCAAGACUAGCACCGCGACGGCGCCUCUUGCCCGUAACUUUGGGGUGAGGCAGAACCACAAUAUCAUACAAGUCAAAAAUCUAAGAUGAUGACAUUCCAUUUGUAUCCAUGAUUUAUAUUGUGUUCCUUGAAUAUCCAUUAAAGUCUACUUGAAUUGAUUUGCAAUUAUGUGAAUUGUAUGUGAAACUCUUUCCUUGUAUGGUUAUUCUAAAGUUGUCCCUAGUCGGAGUUCAUGUGAGGACACAUGAAUAUUAGACUAGCACAUGUAUUAGUUGAUGACUAUGUUUCACAAGUCAUGGACAUGAAGAUGUGGAACUAAUAAUGUGGGCACAUGUGGAGACACGUGCUAGGACUGACCCAACACGAGAAGUAGUUCUCUCUUUAUACAACAUAUACGCUUUGUCCUUAGACCUGAGAUUGUCGCAUGUACUCAAGAUGUGGAUCGACUUACUUAGGGGCUAUCAAAUUCUACGCCGUAACAGGGUAGUUAUAAAGGUAGCUUUCGGGUUUGUCAAGAAGCAUGCUAUGAGACAUGGUCAAUCAAGAUGGGAUUUGCCCCUCUCUGAUUGAGAGUGAUAUCUCUGGGCCCCUCGAGUGAUCGGAUCCGAAAAUGCAUGGCCAUGCUACAUACGAUUAAGAGUUAGCCUACAAAAGGAUUCCGAAUCAUAGGAUCGAGAAAGAGCGGUCGGCUUGAAGCUAGACCAAAUAUCGUGAGGCAAAGGGAAUAGCAUGUAUAUAAUGUUGUGAUGGUUCGUCUGAUAUGAUCUUCGUGUGCGUAUAGGAGUUGGCACGUCUUGCUAGAGGUCGCUACCGACUAUUGGGCCGAGUAGGAGUACUCAGGCCAUGUCUAUACGUAUCCGAACCCAUAGGGUCACACACUUAAGGGGCUGGAAGCCCAAUUCGGAUGUGAUCCGAAUUGGAUUAGGUUUAGAAGUACUAAUGGGCCUUGGACCUAGAGGCCCGUUAGGAACCUCUAUAAAUAGAGGGGUGGGGGCGCCCUAGGGUUUACACCUUUUUGGUGAAACACAUCUGCCGCGCCUCCCACGCCUUCGCCUGUUGCAACUCGCGGACCUAGCAGUCCGGCUUGCGACGCUUCCUCCCUGCACGUGUGGAUACCUUGGAAGUGUUGCUCCUGCAGCACUUGGACGAGCCGCCAACGAGCCACGACGAGCCACGAUGAGCCGACGAUGAGCCGCGGCACGAGGGGGAUCUUGCUGCACGUGGACGAGCUGCUGAGGAGCUGCUGGACGUCGAUGUGUUCGACUACGUACGACUACGCUGAUCGACUUCGCUGCAUCAACGCGAAUCUACAUCUUCCGCAUCAUUGCAUCGAGUGGUAAUCCCGUGAUCCUGAUACGGCAGUUUUCCUAGUUUACGCGGUAGAAAAUUUUGUUUUGUGCUAGUGUAGCCUAACUCAUAUCCCAACAACGUGUGCUAUAGGUCACGCAAGCCUGAAAAUGGCCACACCGGACACCGGGUACGAAAACAUGGGGGAUGGACCGAACAUUUGAAAAUGGCCUCCAUAUGUGUUUUCGGCUAUGAAAAUGUGUGUUAUAGGUCACAGAAGCUUGAAAACGGCCGCACCAGCCACUAGGGACGAAAACGUGGGGGAUGGACCAAAGACAUAAAAAAUAGCCUCCAGACGCGUGUUCGGCCAUGAAAACGUGUGGUAUAGGUCCUGGAAGGCCAAAAACAGCUACACCGGCCACCUGGGACGAAAAAGUUUGUGUAAGACCGAACACUUGAAAAUAGCCUCUGGACGCGUGUUCGGCUAUGAAAAGGUGUGUUAUAGGUCACACGAGCCCCAAAACAACCACAGCGAACACCAGCUACAAAAACAUGGGGGAUGGAUCGAAUAAUUGAAAAUGGCCUCCAGACGUUUGUUCGGCCAUGAAAUCGUGCGUUAUAGGUCGCGGGAGCCCGAAAACGGCCACACCGGCCACCGGGAAUGAAAAUGUGGGGGAUGGACCGAACAAUUAAAAAUGGCCUCCGGAUGUGUGUUCGGCCAUGAAAACGUAUGUUAUAGGUCACGGGAGCAUGAAAACGGCCGCACUGGCCACUGGGGACGAAACGUGGGGGAUGGACCGAAGACGUGAAAAUAGCCUCCAGACGCAUGUUCGGCCAUGAAAAUGUGUGCUAUAGGUCAUGCAAGGCCAAAAACAGCUGCACCAGCAACCGGGGACGAAACCAUGGCUGUCAAACCGAACGCUUGAAAAUCGCCUUCGGACGCGUGUUCGGAUAUGAAAACAUGUGUUGUAGGUCACGCGUGCCCGAAAACGUCCACAACGGACACCGGGUACAAAAACGUGGGGGAUGGAUCGAAUAACUGAAAAUGACCUCCGAACGCGUGUUCGGCCAUGAAAACGUGUGUUAUAGGUUGCGGGAGCCCAAAAAUGGCCACACCGGCCACCGAGGAUCAAAACGUGGGGGAUUGACCGAACAAUUAAAAAUGGCCUCCGAUUGUAUGUUCGGCCAUGAAAACGUGUGUUAUAGGUCAUGGGGGCCCAAAAAUGGCCGCACCAGCCACCAAGGACGAAAAUAUGGGAGAUGGACCAAAGACAUGAAAAUGGCCUCCAGAUGCAUGUUUGGACAAAAGUGUGUGCUAUAUGUCGUGCAAGGCCAAAAACAGCUACACCAGCCACCGGGACAAAAACGUGGGUGUUUGACUAAACAAGUGAAAAUGGCCUCCGGAAGCAUGUACGGCUAUGAAAAUGUGUGCUAUAGGUAAUGGAAGGCUAACAAAAGCUACACCGGCCACCGGGGACAAAAUCAUGGGUGUCAGACUGAACACUUCAAAAUGGCCUCCGGACGCGUGUCCGGCUAUCAAAACGUGUGUUAUAGGUCAUGCGAGCCCGAAAACAACCACACUGAACACCGGGUACAGAAACAUGGGGGAUGGACUGAAUAACUGAAAAUGGCCUCUAGACGCGUGUUCGGUCAUGAAAACAUGUGUUGUAGGAUGCGGGAGCCCGAAAACGGCCACACCGGCCACCAGGGCAUGGACCAAACAAUUGAAAAUGGCCUCCGGAUGUGUGUUCGGCCAUGAAAACGUGUGUUAUAGGUCACGGGAGCCCAAAAAUAGCCGCACCGACCACUGGGGAUGAAAUCGUGGGGGAUGGACCGAAGAUGUGAAAAUGGCCUCCAGAUGCGUGUUCGGCCAUGAAAACGUGCGCUAUAAGUCAUGUAAGGCUAAAAAUUGCUACACCGGGACUAAAGCAUCCCCCAUGAGUUACAAUAAAAGGAUUGUAUCCUCUACUCAGUCGGAUGUACUGUGUAGGUGAGAUGGUAAGGAAGCUAUGCGCGAGGUUUGAGGUUGUGGGUUGAAAUCCUACGCACCGCGCGCACACGCGCAUAUUUUGUGUGAAAAAUCAUGUGACUUGUGAUCGGCCAAGGAGAAGUGGGUGCAGCUGUGGCUUAAGUGGCUGAGGCACGCUGCCAUAGACAUCUCCGAUUUGCUCGAAGACUACCAAGACACUAGCAAUAACAAGAACUACUGCUCUUCCUAGCAGACUCUUUACAACCACUUUAAAGCUGUGCAUUUCUCAAUGUAAUUUCGUAGAAGGCAAUCGAUCCAACCAAGCGACUAAAUCAUUUGUUCUUGCCAAUGAUGUACAUCAGGUUUUCUAUAUGAAGGACAUGUCUAGCAAACCUAAGAUUUUAGAAGAAAAAGAAAAAUUAUGGGAGUCAAUAAUAAAUCAGGCCAAUCAGGAGAUUAUAGUAAGCUCGAUGGUAUGCCUCCAUUCGAUGUCGAAGUUGGCCCAAGCAUCAUGUUAGCCAAAGAUCAAAUGUUCGUGCAUUGCUACGGUAAAGAUCAAUUGUGUCUUUUAAACCCAUGGAAUUUUUUAUCUAUGUUUUUAUUACACUUAAUGGAUGUCUACACAUUUGCUAGAAAAUCAAAAUAAUUUUGACUUAAUUAUUUCUUUCAACUCAAAUACUCAUUAAAUUUCUACCUUUUUAUUUAAGCAAGAGAGUUGCUCAAAAAAUGGAUACGUAACCAUGUUGUAUCAUACAAAGCAACCACAUUUCACAUAUAGUCUGGCUUAGCAAACACCAUUGUUGUCUUAACAUAGUGUUCAUGAGUUAGUAGACAUGGAUCUAUUUCUAAUUGCAAGUAGUGCAGCGUACAACCAGCCUGCACCGCCGCAGCUCAAUAUGCGAUAAUUUUUUAUCUUCCCAUGUAAUUUUUCUACUCUAGUACAUAUUGAACUCCACAUAAAUGUCAUGUUCUUUCACGCCACAGACGGUUUCUAAAGUUUGGAACUAAAUAGAUAGCCAAAAAUUUUAAAAAAAUAUUUAUAUGGAUACAUGUAUGUUCUUUGCAAACUAACAAUAUUGUUUACAAUAUCAAAAGGAAUAUGGCUAUGAUCAUUGCCGCAUAUGGCAGGUGAUGGUAGAUGCCGUAUGGGGUUUCUUUAACUUAAUUGUAUAAUAAGCUGAAAUACAUUUUCUAUUUGCAAAUGAAUCAUAGCUGAAAGUGGUGGGAUUGUAGAACCGCCGGCCAUCGUGUCCUUGUAGGACCGCUGCACGAGCCUGUGAGCCACCAGCCACCAUGCGCCCAAGGGCCAUCACCACGCCAUAAGAGGAUGCUGUCUACCCGGUUUCGCGCGCCUGUGCUAGCUGCCUGAACCUGGGCCGCCGCCGGUCGCCUGCCCAGCCGCGCGUUGCGCCAGGGUUUUGCUGGUGACGACCAUGGCCUUCGCGAUCAAAUUAAAAAGUUAUCAACUGCAAAGUAUUAGGUCUCGUUGAGCUCUACAAUUUUGAUAUAAAGUUUCUAUUCAUCCGAGAUCAAAUAAAAAAUUUGAUACUCAAAGCAUAAAUCCAUUAAUCUAGUCUUGCUAAUCCUUACCACCAAAUAAAAAACUAGCAUGUGUUGUGUGUUUGUGACCCUAAACGAUCACAAAUGAAUAACUUAUGGGCCUUGCUAGCGCCCGGAUGUCCAGGCCGGGGCACUAGCAUCAGACCCACGAGUAGCCGUCCGAUCAGGUUCGACACCACUUCAGGAUCUGGCUUAAAAAGAAGUCCCACCGAAACAUUGUUCCAUGUUGCAUGAAGCAACCCACUACCGUCGCCAGGUCUAGAGCAAGCACCACCUUCAAAUGUGCUGCUCACCCUAGCUAAAUAGGGGCAUUAAAAUAUUUCUCGCAUAUCCUUCUCAAAUUAAACAAAAUCGCAACAUCUGAAAAUUUUUACAGAAAACCAUGAAACAUAUCGAUUAGAUAGAUGUAACAAGAUGGAAUAUGGUAUAUGCAACAUAUAGGUUCCGAAAAGCAGAUGAAAUAUUAUGUAAUGAUUCUUGAAACAGUCAAGAAAAAUAGAUGUAACAUCUAAAAUUAAGAAAAGAAGCUUUAUGCAAAUUGCAAAAAGCUGAAACAAGUGGUUGAAACAUUUCAAAUCACCAAAUGCCACAUUUGAAAUGACCAGAUGAAACAUCACGAAAUCAAUUGCAACAGUUGAAGAUGAAAACAUUCAAAUGCCUUGCCUUUCUCCAAAUUUGACCCUCCAAGCAUGAGUCCAGCCAUUUGCACAUUAGACCCUUGGGAGGAGCUCACCGGAGAACAACAAGACCGUGUUAUCCAACAAUUUUCAGAUCAAAUUGCAACAUAAAGAACAAAGCAUUGCAACAUCUGGCAUCACGAGCUACAACAGCAACCAGUUAGGAUCAGGAGAAAGAGGGCAAACACAAGCCUAACAAUGAGUUAUAUCCGGUUUAAACAAGGAUAAAAAUGAGUGUAUUUUACACUCAUCAUGUUGUCUUUUCGCAGCUGUACCGCCUUUAGCGUGUUGUAUUGUUCCUAACACCAAGUCUCCGAGGCCCGAAAAAAUAAGGAAAGUGGUAGCAGCUCAGAAAUCGACUAAGUUUCUUUCCCCCUUUGGCUUUCCUACUAGGAUUCGGAAUCCUCUUUCGUAUGACAAUCUUAAUGAUCUCCCAUAGUCCAAAACUCACAAAAACAUCAAAAAUCCACCGAGAAUAAAUUAAGUAAAAAAACAUGCACACACAGAUAAUAAUAGUAAUCAUGUUUCAUUAUGAUUGCUAAGGUCAGACACAAUACAUAAACAUAUUAGACUGAGUGACCCACCUCACCUCAGAGUAUGCACCAUGUCUGAGUGACCCACCUCACCUUGCCAGGACACUGGUCCUGCCCUCGUGGUUCACGCGCCCUCGUGGUUCAGCAGUGGUCAGUACACAAAUCUAGCUGCCAGUCGGAUCCAAGGGCAGGCAUUUGCAUUGUGGUUGUGUUUGAACAUGGAGAUGUCAUUAUUAUUGUCAGGCACCAUACAUCCUCUCUCAGUUUCACUCCGCCUCACACACGGAUAGCACACCAGGGACCCGACACCAUGCAUGCCGAUUUCAUAUUAUUAAUAUUUAAUUUUUUUAAUGGUUGUUGAAACUAUAUUGUUGAUAUUUUUAUACAUAAUUUACGACCUAAUUUGGAUAUAUUUUUGAAAUAUUCCGAAAUCUUAAAUUCACACGUCUAGAGAUACAGUUAGUCCAAUCUGAUGUUUCCGAUUAUAAAAAUGAACAUAAAGAGAUAGGAAGCGAGAGACGUGAGGGGGAAAGUUAAAUUAGGGCCUAAGGGGUGAAGUUAGGGUUCCAGGUGAGCUGUCAUCACUACGUGUUUUUAAUCGAAAUUGGAAUGUCAGCAAUCGUCAGAUCUUGAGCCAACAGUUGAGACUGCCUCGGAAUGGUAAUUAGGUCUGCGCGAGCUUGCAUUGUGGCCUUCCUUGAAACCUUGGACAUAGGUGUUAUAUUAUUAUGUUCUUGCCAGCACACAGCAGUGAAGGACGACACAGUUGAGAUGUGCAUCACAUUUUCUAUAUGAAGGAUAUGUUUAGCAAACCUAAGAUUUUAGAAUAAAAAGAAAAAUCAUGGGAGCCAAAGCGCCACAUAGUUCUUCCAGGUAAAAAAAAAUCAUCCACUGGACCAGCACAUAGUAACGAUCCAAAAAGUCCAUAUUAAGAUUUUUUGAUAGCAGAAAAAACAUAAAAUGUCUAAUAUUUGUAGUAUUAAAAGGAAAAAUAAUAUAUUCACGUGACCUUUUUCCCGUAGCAAGGCACCGGUACGUGGUCAGACUUAAUGCACGAUGCCUAAGCAUCCAUUGGGCCUACCCUCGUGUGGAUCACGCGCAACAGGACACGGCUCACAAGCUAUGAUGUGCAGCAGUCGCUCAGAUGGCUGAAAGGUACCCUUAAUUUGAAUGGUACCAUAUAUAUAUAUAUAUAUAUAUAUAUAGUAAACAAGACAAACCACCGUUGAUACUACUUUGCACUACUUGAUACAUAUAUCUCCACCAAAAGCGAGGCACGUGGGGAGGAGAGAUAUGUGGUUGAUGGUGCGGGCACGUGGCGAGUGCACCGUACGAAAAUUUUGCUCGUGUCGGACGACUGAUGUGAAGCAUUACCCAAUCUUAAUUAUCUCCCAUAAUCCAAAACUCACAAAAACAUCAAAAAUCCGCCGAGAAUAAAUUAAGUAAACCAUGCACACACAGAUAAUAAAAUUGCUAAUAAGGCCAGAGACAAUACAUAAACAUAUUAGACUGUUCAUGACACAUAUCACGGUGGAUAGUGUCUGUGUCCUUAUUACAAGCAAUGAGAGAUGCUUGUCACCACACACACGCGCACAGAUGCACAACAUACAUAUAGUUGAGACCAACAGAUGGAUCAACUAGAGGUCACCCCAUAUGGUGAACAAUUUAUUGGAGAUAAACAUUAACAUAACUUGGCCAUAGCUUGAAGCAUAGCAACAUAUGCCUAUGAACGGCGUUCAUGCUAUCAUUUUAGGCUUGUCCGCUUCUUCCAUCUUAGCAAGCACUUCCAUUUCUACCAUCUUAGAAGCAACUGUCAAAUUGAGAUAUGGAAAUCCCAUUAGCGCAUGAGUUAAUUUUGCAGUGAAAAUAGAGUACAAGAUAUCUUCAUGAUGUAAGUAACAUGCCUGAAGUUGUGAGAUGGGAAGUGAAGUCAACAAAUUACAUUAACGGAAAUGCAUGGAAGGCCACACAUACGUAUUAGUCCAUGAUAUGCUACAAAGCUUGUAUGUACAUAUAGCAAAUUAAAUGCAUUAAUUGAAUAGAGUGAGUUUAGUGAAUUUACCAGAAUCGUCCAGAAAACAUGGGAAACAGCAAGUGUUCUUGCAGACUGCGUCGGUGCCACCCACAGCAAUACAACCAAAACAACAUGCUUUUGCCCGAGCGGCUGCGCAGCAGCCGCACUCUGCCGCGGUGGCCGAGUUAGCAUUGAGGCUCAAGAUGACCAGGCACAUGAUCACCAUCAAAGCGGUGGUAGUCCUCUUUCCCUCCAUUGCCUCCUCUUGCUGCUACCUUCCUUGGUUACCUAGCUAAGUUUAUUGGUUUUGUGUUGAGAGGUGAUUCUUGCAUUGAAUGGACGUUGCCGCGGCUGCAAUUUAUAGGCAGCUGCGCUAUGUGAUGAUAUGGACAAGGUGCAAAUGGGUGGUCCUGAUAUGGAUAAGGUGCAUGCGAAUGGCUGUCUACUUGUAUAGUGGCGCUCCAAUGUACAUACGUAUGUAUCUUAUGCAUGUAUACAGUUGAUGGAUGUACAUGUUUGUUGCACAAAUUAUUCUGAACCAACUCUUCAUAACAGGUCUUUGUUACCAAGUAAUUUUACUUUUGCACGUUUCAGCCGAGAGGCAGAAGAGAAUAUUUUACAGAGAGGGCAGAGAAGGAGGUUGGCGGAGGCGCCGUGGUAGGGUUCCCCGUGUCGCCAAGAUUUUUGCAUUUUAGAUGUGUGUAUUGAUCACUUCGUCGUGCUCGCGGGGCCCAACUCCAGGUUGUACCCCAGCAGACCACGUUCUGUUUCUCUGCCUCCAAUGAGCAUGCAUGCCUCCACAAGGACCACAAGACUUAGUAAAAAAGCUAAACUUUGCAACACGAUGUAUACAGAACGUUUUGAAAUGUACUCUCGUUAGGCAUUCACCUCCUUAACAAUCACUGCGACUGUAAAAGAGGUACAUCGACGCUAGCUAAAUAAACCACUAUAAGAUUUAGCAAGAGAUCAUUUUAUACAAUCCUGUAACGAAACAAUUUGACAAUUAUAGUGUCCAUAUAUUUUGACAAAAAAACGUUUAAAUUAUAUAAGGAGGUGGGCCCGAAAACGGUUGGAUUACAUCGAGAACGUUUUGAAACAGUUGGCGGAGCAGGAUUCUGGCGUGGAGCAUCUACAUUGUCGCGCGCGCGGACUGCCGGAGUAGGCACGCUCGACUUGUCCCAUCGCCAGCUAAAUGAUUUAGUACCGGAUGGUCUCUAGUACCGGUUGGAGCUACCGUCCACCAGGAGCUUUUCUAGUUUGGAACUGGUACUAAUGCUAAUAUUAGUAUCAGGUCAAAAACAAUCGGUACUAAGGCUAGGGAUGACACGUCAUUUUUCUAGUAGUGUGUGCAAUUGGUUUUGUAAUUAGUCUAUAUUUAAUACUUCUAAUUAGUAUCUACACAUUUUAUGUGACAGGGACUGAACUUUAGUCCGUGGAACCAAACACCCCAUAAGUAUGUUUGGUGCUGUAAGGAUUUCGGUUUUAUUUAAUUUCCUAGGCAUUUAAAUUUCUUUCUAAAAUAAGUUAAUGAAUCAUAGGAUCUCAUUGUUGUAUUCAAGCUGGUGCAUUGAUUUUGCCUAUAAAACCCGCCGCGGUCUUCGCAGCCCCCAUCAAACCCUAGCGCCCUUGCCACAAGCUCAGCACCGCUGCCGCCCGAGCUCGAGCACUAGCACCCACCCAUCGCCGUUGCCUUCCCGUCGAUGGGAUCACCGCCCGGAGCUUCGCAUCGUGGUAAGGAAGCCGCCCGUGAAGAUCCCAUGUGCUCCUAUGCCCUCUACCGCGUCCCCGAGUUCCCGGAGUUGCUAGUCUCCCACCGAGCCGACUCUCCGAGCUUCACGUCACUGGUGCCGCUCCGAAGACCUAGUUCGGUUCGCCAUGCACCUCGCUUCAUCCUGAGCUAAACCCCAUAAUGAAUGGUGGUCGGAUGCUCGCCGCCACGGCGCGUCGUCUUUUCUGUCGCCCGUGCAUUGCCUAUCCCCUUCCAGCCGAUUGCAGCUGUCCGAUCGCAAACCGGUGGCCCUGAUCGGAUACCAAGGUCAAUACCGGUCGAACCGAGCCGUGCGCUGCUUUUGCAAGAAGGCCCCUGUUUUUCUCUCUUUUUGCACCUGAGGUCCUACGCAGUUCAAAAGUAAUAAGAUCUAGGUCCUUUUUCUUUUGUUUUAGCCCGUGUUCUUUUAUAAAAUCCCGCCCACUAUUCUGUUUGGUCUUUUGACGCGUUAGACCUUCUUUUUAUAUGUUUAAUUAGGUUUUAGGUCUCGAUUUCUUUAAGUUUAGCCCUUGAAAGUUUAGUUCUCUCGCAGUUAAGCCCCUGAACCUUGUUUAGCUCAUAUCUUAAGCGUUUUAAAUCCGUUUUAACAGAUUCUUGCGCCUAUAAGUUCAUGUUGACGCAUAGAUUAGUUGACUUAUACGAACCUUGCUGAUUCAGCUCCUUGAUUGUGCUUCAGAUCUCGCUAGGGAAGAAUAAUGGAUGGGCUUUGGUUGAGCUUGUAGAUCGACUUGCAGUUGCAGUGAAUGAGCAGAGGAUUGGCAGUGAAUAAGAUCAGGCCGCUGCCCUGCUUGGUAGGGAAAAUAUCUGCUUGCUACCAAGGCCUGUGACGCAUGGACCCCAUUGAGAGUGCAUUAUUGACAAGGACUUAAAGCCAAGGGCUCCACACCUGUCAUUGAUCAGCUGUCUGCUGGGCGCUGCAAGGAGGUAGUGCAUGUUUGACAUAAAGAAGCAGGUGGCCCAGGAUUUACGAAAAAUAAGGAUCUAUUUGAUACCCUUGCUUAUAUUUAGGGGCUAAAAGUUGCUUAUUUGAAGUUGCUUAUUUUUAAUCCUAGCUGUUUGAUUGCAUGGGCUAAAGAGCAUUGAAUGAGGUGGAUAUUGUCAUGUUUGCCUCUAAUGAUUGCUUCCCAUCACAUUUCUCCCCCCUCAUUCAACGAGGGAAGGAGGUGUAAAGUGCACCUUUUAGCCCCGAUAAGUAACCCUUGUGUUGUUUACGGGCUGAACAUAAGUAGCUAAAGUUUAGCUCCAAUAAACAAGAGUGUUUGGUAUUUUUGGGGUUAAAAGGGGCUAAACUUUAGCUGCUUAUGCAUAAGCAAGGCCAUCCAAAUAGGCCCUAAGUAUGUUUGGCGUUGUAAGUAGGUUUUAUUUAAUUUCCUAGGCAUUUAAAUUUCUUUCUAAAAUAAGUUAAUGAAUCAUAGGAGUUCAUUGUUGCAUUCACGCUGGUGCAUUGAUUUUGCCUACAAAACCUGCUGCCGUUUCCGCAGCUCCCAUCAAACCCUAGCACCCCCGCCACGAGCUCCAGCGCCGCUGCCGCCCGAGCUUGAGCACUAGCGCACACCCAUCGCCGUCGCCUUCCUAUCAAUGGGAUCACCGCCCGGAGCCCGUGUCAUGGUAAAGAAGCCGCCCGUGAAGAUCCCGUCCACUCUCGUGCCCUCUACCGCGUCCUCGAGUUCACCGGAGUUGCCAGUCUGCCACCCAGCCGCCUCUCCGAGCUUCAUGUUGUCGUUGCCACUCUAGCUGCCUCUCUGAAGACCUAGAUCGGUUUGCCGUGCACCCCGCUUCAUCCUGAGUUAAACCCCAUCAUGCCACGUCAUAGUAAGGAAGCUGCUCAUGAAGAUCCCGUGCGCUCCCGUGCCCUCUACCGCGUCCCCAAGUUCACUGGAGUUGCUAGUCCACCACCGAGCCGCCUCUCCGAGCUUCACUUCACAGUCGCUGCUCCAGCCACCACUCUGAAGACCUAGAUCAGUUCGCUGUGCACCCCACCUCAUCCUGAGCUAAACCCCAUGACGAACUGUGGUCGGAUGCUCAUUUUCGAGUGAAUUCCGGCGAGAUGGUCGCCCGCCGCCGCCAUCUCCAUCGCCCAUGCACCGCCUGUCCCCUUCCAGCCGAUGUCCGAUUGCAAACCGAUAGCCGAAAUCGGAUGUGGUCACCAGGAUUAAUACCAGUCAAACUAAGCCACGCGUGCCGCUUUUGCAAGAAGGCCCCUAUUUUUCCCUCUUUUUGCACUUGAGGUCCUAUGCAGUUCAAAAGUAAUUAGAUCAAGGUCCUUUUUCUUAUGUUUUAGCCCUAUUCUUUCAUAAAAUCCCGGCUGCCAUCCUGUUUGAAAUAGAUACGGUUAUAGAUAUGCAAACAUCUGCAUAUUUCCAACCGUAUCUCUUUCGAACGGGAGACGCCUAACUAGGUUACGUGACAUACGAACAUCAUACGGAUAGAGAGGGGUAGGAUGUCUCACCUUGCUAUCCUACAAAGUGACGACUCGAGGACAGUAAUGUAGCCUCUCCUUCAAAAAAAGAACAUACUACUAUCAAGUUAAAUUUUUGACAGCACCUCCCCUGCACGUGGAGGUUUCCAUAACCUGCAUCAAAUAAAACGGCACGAUGGCUGACAACCACAUCUACAGCACCAGAAUGGCACGAUGGCCGACUUCCACAUAAAGUUCUUAUACCUUAGAUUGCCAAGUCAAACAUCCUUUUCUAAUUUCUAAAACAAAAGCCCUCCCACCUCUCUAUCUUAUACUUUCCUAUUUACUAAUUGCUUUUGUAAUUUCUAAUUUCUAUUUCAUCCUACCACCUCUGUACCCUUUUCUCAUUUCUAAUUCCAAUUUUCUAACUUGAAGAGCAAAGAUUGAUUACUAGGAGGGGUGAGGGACGCCGGCCUAGAGAGGCGAGGGGACGUCCGGCGGCGGCGGGUGCGUCGGGGGUAGGAUGCCAGGGGCGGCUGCAGGGGCGCCGGGUUGGGGGCGGCCGGGAUCGAGGGCACCAGUAGCGGGGGCACCGGGCCGGGGGCGGCCGGCGGGGCGGGACGCCAGGGCCGGGGCGACGGGCGCCGGUGGCGAGGCCGCCCGGCCGGUGGUGGCCGGCGUGGCGCCUGGGCCGGGGGGGGGGGGCGGGCGGGGUGCGGCGCGGCGCGCCGGGGCAGGGCGCCGAGGCUGGGUGGUGGGGUACGGGGCGGCGGGCGGGGGGUGGGGGGAGGGUCGGCGGCGGGGCGCGGGGGCGGCCAGCGGCGACGGCGGAGGGCGUCGGUGGUGUUUCGGAAGUGAUACGGAGGGGGUAGAGAGAUUCGUUUUCGCGGCUGAGUGUUCGAGUCAGAAGGCCGUGCGGCUUAAGUCAGGUGGUUUGCCGAGUGCGCGCGAUCUGGCACUCGGCAAAGUCAGAAGUUUUGCCGAGUGUCAGAUCGCGGGCACUCGGCAACUGCAGCUUUUGUCGAGUGCCCUGGAUUCGGCACUCGGCAAAGUGAAGUUUUAAUUUUUUUUAAAAAAAUUUAAUCGGAACACGGGCGUGCCAGCGGGCCCGUGACAUACUUUGCCGAGUGUGUAGCAAAAACACUCGGCAAAAUAUUAUCUUUACCGAGUGUUUUCGCUAGGCACUCGGCAAAGUACACUUAUAUUUCAUGUACACUUUUUCAAUAACGUGUUUUACUAACCUUUUUCUGAUAUACUUGGGAAAAACCUUAUCAAAUUCACUCAACAAUGGAUAUAUGGUUUUUCUACUGACAUUAUUCCAUUAUUUCAUUCAGUUAUAGCUCAAAUUGAAUUUAUAUCUAUUAAAAAUCAAUAAUUGCAUUUAAUAAAUAAAAAAUACCAAACGGAUCUGAAAAAUUUCCAAAAUUUGACAUGAACCAAUCUAUGUUGUAUGUUGCCUGUACAAAAAGCUUUGAAGUCAAACCCCAAUUCAAGUGUCACUUGGACUCCAAAUCUUAUCGGAUCCUUUCUAACUUCUAUGAAUCCUUUCGGGAGAUGAGUCGGUUUGUAAGCAUCAUAUGUCAUAAAUUGGGCGAAACCUUCUCAAUUUUUUACCACAGCCUCCACAUAUAAUAUCAUGACACCUUGACAAAUCUUGUGAUUUUCAGACUUCGUUUGCUUUUUUUAGAAUUUAACAACCAUUCAACCACAUGUUCGUGAUCGUGUUUUCUAAAAAAAUGUUCAAAAUUUCUUUUCAUUUCCUGGUUGAGACCUCAAUCCGGAUUGAAUAAUAUGAAUAUGAUUUUUUCACUGAUUUUAAUCCAUUAUUUAAAUCACUUGCAGUUAAAUUUGACUUAAAUAAACAAAUUCCUAUUAAUGCUAUCAAUUCAUUAAAAAUAGCAAACAGAGAAAAAAUAGACCAACUUUUAAGAUGGAUUACCAAAUGUCAUAUGUGGGGAGUAGAAAAAGUGUGGAGAGCAGAGGUGGAAAAAAAAGUUUUGCCUUUGCCAAGUGCCUACACAAACACUCAACAAACUUUGCGGAGUGCCUAUUGAAAACACUCAGCGAACUUCUGAGUUUGCCGAGUGUCUGGAGGGAGCACUCGGCAACCUACUUAUUUGCCGAGUGUCCGCGUCGGACACUCAGCAAAGUACUAACGGCUGGCACACUCCCCUAACGGACGGCGCACGUGCAAGCCAUGUGCUGGAGAUUUAUCGAGUGUCAAAUCGUUGCCGAGUGUCGUGUGGAUGUUUGCCGAGUGUCUUAUUUGUGACACUCGGCAAAGCUAUUGUUUGCCGAGUGUAUUAUUUAUGCCGAGUGUCUUCCAGUAUACACUCGGCAAAUGAUGUCUUUGCCGAGUGCUCGACAUAAAGCACUCGGCAAAAAUUUUACACUCGGCAACAUUCCUGUUUCCGGUAGUGAGUGACCCGGGACUAAAGACCCCCGUUGUCUCUGAUUGCUUUAUUCCGGAUGGAUUUUCAGGAGAUUUGCUCCCUACCAAUAGGGACUAAAGGCAAGUUUUCCACUUAUAGCAAACCAGUUAGCCCAUUGUUGAUGGAACGCAUCACUAGAAACAGCUCGGGAUCCACUUGUCCAAUAAUCGAGAGGGCCUAUAUAUGGACCACGUGUGCGGAUCCCUAAUUAGGAAAAAAGAAUAAUGGAGUAGGACAUCUCCAUGCUCACCUAGUAGCCGCUGCUAGCUUGUGCGUGUGGAACACGAGUGCCGGCCCAGUUGGCGCUAAGACAUCGUACGUGCAUUAAGGCUACGAUCUCUUUCUUCUAACUCAUGCUUGUGCUAUUAUACAUUAUUGCAUGAUCAUCAAGAUAAGAUCGUAUAGUGACUGAGUGAGACAUGUAUGUACUAACAUGCAUUUAAGCCUCGAACUGUGUGUUGUUACGUGAGCUGCCUCCUCACCUCGCCUCUGAAUUAUUGAACCGUUUCCAACAGUGUUGGUCUCAAAUAAAUUUGACACCAAACAGAUUUAUGAAGAAGAGAGAAUAAUACUUGGAAUUGGAAAAAGUUUAUCUCUCUUUACAAUGGAGUAGGGCUCCCUUUUAUAGUGACCCAUAAGCCACUUUACAUUUGGAAAAUGUCCUUCCUCAACCACUACAUUAAUUCCUAGGAUAUGCUGUACAUAAAGGUCAUUUGAGGUAACGUGUACAAAUGAACUCUUCCACAUGGUCACGUUUCUCAUGCCUCCUGUUUUCCAACCUCGAGACAUCAUCUUCACGCCAAGUUGAUCAUCUAGCCUCGAGGCUCCAUCCACGAUCCAGAAUGAACGUCCAGGCUUGAGGCUCCUUCUUCGUUAAGCUUUGUUGAGAACUCAUAACCUCACAUAGUUCUCCUCCGAGUAUUGUUCCCGACUCAGAACACUCGAGGUUUAGCUCAGUUGGAGUUUAGCUAUUACUGUUGCUAGUCACCAGCCUCGAGCCCCUCCAGAAGCAAGGUGAUGCGAGGGUACGAGUUUUACUAUUAAAGGUGUUUCCAUAGAAUGUGCGAGGUUAAAGCACUUGCAGCAAAAGCGUGGAGCUGCUUUCAACCAGAGUGCAAUAAUGCAGCCGUGCCCAUCUUGGUCUUGGUCUCCGCCUGAACUAUAGCAGAUGCUGGCAGCGGUAGCAGGGUGGUCCAUUAUAUCUAUGGAUGGCAAUGGUCGGAUUCGGAUGGAAUCGAAUUCGAAUAGCACUUUUUACCACAUACUAAUUCAAAUCCGAAUUCGGAUUCGGAUGUUCUCGAAUGCGAAUGCAAAAUGGAUGGUUCGAAUUCGAAUACUUAGCGGAUUUUUGCAUAAUAUUAAUCGAAUAGAAUUCAUUAAAUUUAGCCAAGAAAUUAAAUUUUCUGAAAUUAAAUACUUUCCCUUCGCCCCAGCGGCGGCCUAACUCCCAGGACGGUGGCGUGCGGGGCCCGAGCAUCCCUGGCCUCUAGUGGCGUGGCGGGGCGGCAUCCAGCAGCAGCGGCGGGGCUCGGCCUCCGGUGGCGCGCGGCCAGCCCGACCUACCCGGUCAGAGGUGGCGCAGCGGUGCGCGGGCCUCCCCGACCAGAGCCGGUGGGGAGCGGUGCGCGGGGAGGACCUCCCCAGCCGGAGGUAGCAGGGCGCGACCUCCCCGGCCGGAGGUGGCUCCCUGUGGGGGCGCGGCCGUGACAGCUAGCGAGGCAAUAAUUGCUUCCGUACGCAGCAAUAAUUGCUUGUGCGACACCGUGUUAUUACUCUGGUACAGUACUCCCUCCGUUGCAGUACACUGGUCCAGGCGUCAGGACACUGCUCCUGCCCUCGUGGUUCACGUGCAUCAGGCCAGCAGACAAGCUAUGAUGUUGCCAACAGUGUUUGUUUGAACAUGGAGAUGUCAUUGUGAUUGUCAGGGACCCGACACCAUGCAUGCCGAUUUCAUAUUCUUAAUAUUUAUUUUUUUAAUGGUUGUUGAAACUAUAUAGUUACUCCAAUAUCACGUUUCCGAUUAUAAAAAUUAACAUAAAGAGAUCGGAAGGGAGAGCCCGCAUAAUGAAGCCGACGCGUAUAAUAAGCACUAGAGCCGGCAUUUAUACAAACGGGUACGCAUAGUAAAAACUAGAAUUUAUAAAUAAAUGAAGAUAUUCAAAUAUCUGGCUUACUUUUUUCAUUAAUUUUGCAUGAAUAAGGGAUGAUUCAUUAAUCAUUAUUGAACAAAUUGGCACACAUGCUUCGUGCCCGCGUUGUGAGCAUUAUGCGAUGCCACUGAGCUGCACCACCACGGUAGAGGGCCUGUUUGCGAUGCCACCGAGCUGCACCACCACGGCAGAGGGUCUGUUUGGGAAGGGGAAGUUAAAGUUUAACACCCCCCAUUUAACACCUUUUUAACAAAAUGGCUGCUAAACACUUGUGUUAAAAGAGUAGUGUUAAAAUUUAACACCUCUCUUUUCAUAAACACAUGGAGGGGGUGUUAAAAUUUGCUAAAUGUGUUAAAAGUGGUCCCCUCCCCACUUAUUCCUUGGUUGCCCCCCUCUCUCUCCUCCUCUCUCUCCUACCCGCCGCAUUUAAGAGCAUUAUUGAGGGGUAAUGCAGUCCUUUUCCAACAAAAGUGUUAAACUUUAACAACCCUUCCCAAACAUGCCACAAGCAACACCACCGGCUGACUGUGCUAGCGGGGAGCACCCUCACCGCCUGCCCGUGGGGACUUCUUCUGCCGGCCAUCGUGUCUUUGUAGGACCGCCGCGUGAGCCUAUGAGCCACCGGUGGCCGUGCGCCCAAGGGCCAUCACCAUGCCACCUGAGGAUGCUGUCUACCCGGUGCCGCGUGCCUCUGCUAGCUGCUUGCACCUGGGCCGCCGCUGGUCGCCUGCACAGCCACGCGUUACAGCCGCCCCCCUGCGCUGGGCCACCCCAUUUCGUGUUGGAAGAACUGCCACAGUCUCGCGCACUGGGGUUUUGCUAGUGACGACCAUAGCCUCCAAGAUCAAAUGAAAAAGUUGGUACUCAAAACAUACAUCCAUUAAUCUAGUCGUGCUAAUCCUUACCACCAAAUAAAAACUAGCAUGUGUUGUGUUUUUGUGACCCUAAACGAUCACAAAUGAAUAACUUAUGGGCGUUGCUAGCCUAUAAGUUAUGGGCGUUUGUGACCCUAGUCGCGCCGGGGUCUUGCUGGUGACAACCAUGGUCUUCGCGAUAAAGUAUUAAGUCUCAUCGAGUUCUACAAUUUUGAUAUAAAAUUUCUAUUCAUCCGAGAUCAAAUGAAAAACAAAUGAAAAAAUCCGAAGUAUUAGGCUUCAUCGAGCUCUACAAUUUUGAUAUAAAAUUUCUAUUCAUCCGAGAUCAAAUGAAAAAAUCCGAGAUCAAAUGAAAAGUUGGAACUCAAAACAUACAUCCAUUAAUCUUGAUAUAAAAUUUCUAUUCAUCCGACAUCAAAUGAAAAAGUUGGUACUCAAAAUAUACAUCCUUUAAUCUAGUCGUGCUAAUCCUUACCACCAAAUAAAAAAACUAGCAUGUGUUGUGUGUUUCUGACCGUAAACGAUCACAAAUGAAUAACUUAUGGGUGUUGCUAGCGUCCCGGACGCUAGCAUCGGACGCAUGAGCAGCCGUCCGAUCGGGUCCGACACCACUUCACGAUCUGUCUUAAAAAAAAGUCCCACCGAAACAUUGUUCCAUGUUGCAUGAAAUACCCCACUAUCCAUCGCCAGGUCUACAGCAAGCACCACCUUCCAAUCUGCUGCUCACCCAAGCUAAAUAGGGGCAUUAAAAUUGCAGAAAUAUGUCACAUAUCCUUGUCAAAUUAAACUAAAUCGCAACAUCCGAAAAUUUCUUACACAAAACCAUGAAACAUAUCGAUUAGAUAGGUGUAACAAGAUGGAAUAUGGUAUCCAACAUAUAGAUUCCGAAAAACAGAUGAAACAUUAUGUAACGAUUGUUGAAACAGUCGAGAAAUAUAGAUGUAACGAUUAAAAUUUAGAAAAGAAGCUUUAUGCAAAUUGCAAAAAGCUGAAAUAAGUGGUUGAAACAUUUCGAAUCACCAAAUGCCACAUUUGAAAUGGCUACAUGAAACAUCACGAAAUCAAUUGCAACAGUUGAAGAUGAAAACAUUCAAAUGCCUUGCCUUUCUCCAGAUUUGACCCUCCAAGCAUGAGUCCAGCCAUUUGCACAUUAGACCCUUGGGAGGAGCUCACCGGAGAACAACAAGACCGUGUUCUCCAACAAUUUUCUGAUCAAAUUGCAACAGACAAAACAAAGCAUUGCAACAUCUGGCAUCACGAGCUACAACAUCAACAAGUUAGGAUCAGGAGAAAGAGGGAAAACACAAGCCUAACAACCCCAAGACAAAACUGAUGUACUCAUCAUACAUCACGGCUUGCCGUGCACAGAGAUGAAGGCCGCCAAGCUCAAUCGAGACAGAGACGACGUGAUAGUGCUCCAGAUCGACGGUCCCCAUCAAUUGUUGCGUACACUGCCAAAAGCAAUGGAAGAAGAAGGGUCGUCCCUGCUCGACCUCCGUAGAUGAGCGCAGAUUGGGGGAAACCGUAUAGAGUGCCGCUGACAGCACAGGCGAGGGGGCUCAGGCUUGAUUCAGGGUGAGGGUAGCGGGUAGCAUGAGGAGACAGUCAGGUUUCAUAGGAGAGAGGCGGAGUAGAGAGCUCUGGUGACUCGGUGAGGAGGGUGCGGCACGGAGAAAGGUGUGUAGCUGAAGGAGCUACAUGGUUGGGGCGAGGCGAGCGUAGAGACUAGAGAGGGAAAAAAAGCAUGGGGAGGAGACGAUAUGUGGUUGAUGGUGCGGGCACGUGGUGAGCGCACCGUAUGAAAAUUUUGCUCGCGUCGGAUGACUGAUGUGAAGCAUUACCCAAUCUUAAUUAUCUCCCAUAAUCCAAAACUCACAAAAACAUCAAAAAUCCGCCGAGAAUAAAUUAAGUAAACCAUGCACACACAGAUAAUAAAAUUGCUAAUAAGGCCAGAGAUAAUACAUGAACAUAUUAGACUGUUCAUGACACAUAUCACGGUGGAUAGUGUCUGUGUCCUUAUUACAAGCAAUGAGAGAUGCUUGUCACCACACACACGCGCACAGAUGCAUGACAUACAUAUAGUUGAGACCAACAGAUGGAUCAACUAGAGGUCACCCCAUAUGGUGAACAAUUUAUUGGAGAUAAACAUUAACAUAACUUGGCCAUAGCUUGAAGCAUAGCAACAUAUGCCUAUGAAUGGCGUUCAUGCUAUCGUUUUAGGCUUGUCCAGCUUCUUUCAUCUUAGCAAGCACUUCCAUUUCUACCAUCUUAGCAGCAACUGUCAAAUUGAGAUAUGGAAAUCCCAUUAGCGCAUGAUUAAUUUUGCAGUGGAAAUAGAGUGCAAGAUAUCUUCAUGAUGUAAAUAACAUGCCUGAAGUUGUGAGAUGGGAAGUGAAGUCAACAAAUUACAUUAACGGAAAUGCAUGGAAGGCCACACAUACGUAUUAGUCCAUAAUACGCUACAAAGCUUGUAUGUACAUAUAGCAAAUUAAAUGCAUUAAUUGAAUAGAGUGAGUUUAGUGAAUUUACCAGAAUCGUCCAGAAAACAUGGGAAACAGCAAGUGUGCUUGCAGACUGUGUCGGAGCCACCCACACGAAUACAAAGCUGACAACAUGCUUGUGCCUCGUGGGAUACGCAGCAGCCGCACUGUGCCGCGGUGGCCGAGUUAACAUUGAGGCUCAAGAUGAACAGGCACAUGAUCACCAUCAAAGUGGUAGUCCUCUUUCCCUCCAUUGCCUCCUGUCGCUGCUACCUUCCUUGGUUACUAGUAAGUUUAUUGGUUUUGUGUUGAGAGGUGAUUCUUGCAUUGAAUGGACGUUGCCGCGGCUGCAAUUUAUAGGCAGCUGCGCUAUGUGAUGAUAUGGACAAGGUGCAAAUGGGUGGUCCUGAUAUGCAGGAGCGGAUCUAGGGCCCAGGCAGUUUAAAUUAAAGUCUCCUCAUAGGCAGUUUGACUAUGAUCAAUUUUACCUGUAUUUCUCAAUAUGUAGAUAAUUCUAUGCCAACAAUUAAAAACUAAUACAUAAUUUGACACGGUGUACCUCGAGAACGUUUUGAAAAUGUACUCUCUCGUUAGGCGUUCACCUCCUUAACAAUAACUGCGACUGUAAAAUAGGUACAUCGACGCUAGCUAAAUAAACCACUAUAAGAUUUAGCAAGAGAUCAUUUUAUACAAUCCUGUAACGAAAGAAUUUGACAAUUGUAGUGUCCAUAUAUUUUGACAAAAAACGUCUAAAUUAUAUAAGGAGGUGGGCCCGAAACAGUUGCAUUAGCAUAUGGUUACCCGUUUGUUGUCUUCCGGUCCUAAAAAAAGGACCAUCUUACUUAAAAAGGUUCUAUUAGGCCAUGCAGCCGGCUCUGUGGCACCAAAAAGAAAUUUUGACACGGUUUACAUCGAGAACGUUUUGAAACUAGACUUUGGUAAGCAGUUCAUCACCUGCUUAACAAUAACGGCGUACAUAGACGCUAUCUAAAUUAACCACUAUAAGAUUUAGCGAGAGAUCUAUUUUUUAUAAUUGCGUAUACCACUUUACGAGAGAGACGUCAAGAGCAUGAUGGUACACUUUGUAUAUAUCUUUGAAUUCCAGCUACGGGACUUUCUUGCCUUCGCCGAAAAAAUCUAUCGGUUUUAUCUUAAGGCCGAACAUCUCCCUCUCGUCAGCGAACUUCUUCAUGUACCAUUUAUGGAAUUUGUAUAUCAAAGCUUCCCUACCAACUCAGGCCUUACUGGAGAUUUGCCUAGCUCAAAGGUCCAUUUCAGUUCAACUAGCGGUCCAGCUGGCAGCUCAACUUGCCCAAGACACUCAGCAAGUCCCAUACCUAUUUCUUCCAUGAAUUUUAUUACUUCUGCUUGUUGAUGCAAGGGCAUUGCUGCUAUCUGUUUAGCGUCGUUUUCUAGUAGAUGCCCGAGGUGGGGGAUAGCACCACUUGAAGACAACUUUCCUUUCCUUUUUUUCCUCUCAUCAACCUUAACUAAUGCCCGUUCGUAGUUCGACAGUAGUGGCACUGACUUCUUGGUUGCUUCUUUCAUCUUUUUUUUAAAAAAAUAAUUCUCUUCGAUCUAUUAGCGGUGGCUCCAUCUCCUUUGCUUUUUUUUCUUCGACCCUUUUCUUGAACCACUCCCUGCAUUCUGCUUGGUUUCGGCCCAGCGUUCCGCUUGAGUCAUUGCCUCUUGGCGUUUCUCAGGAGUCACUUUAGGCUCCUUUAUUUUUUUCUUUCUCUAUCUUGGCUUGGGAGGCAAUGGUCGUGACUUCUUAAGUGGUGCUGCAGUUUCCUUGCUCUAGGCUUCUCUUAGUCCCGAUGACGAUGAUCGGGGAGGAGUGUUGUUGUCCUCGUCGUCGCUCGCACCACCAGGAUGUGGUGGAGAUGGAGACCUUGAUCGAGCAGGAAGCGACGGUCCCUGUGGUGACGACGGUCCUGGAGCAGGUUGUGCUGGAGAUGAUGGUCCUGGAGCAGGCCGUGGUGGAGAUGACGGUCUUGAGCUUUGGGGAGAGGGUCGCUGCUGGGGAUUUGUGGGGAGCAGUCUUGAGCUUUGAGGAGAUGCCUCAAUGCCGGGGAUGAUGAUGUAGCAUUUGUGCCAUAGAAUGAUCCCGUGAAGCGCAUAUCCUAGUGUCCUUUCCCCGUCACCUCCCGGGAGGUCGAGCUCUAGGCCUUCAUAUUGGCUAUCAACGAGCUGCUCUAGGCCGACGCUGGCGUAGCCAGGUGGAAUCUCAAUGCCAUGGCUUGUCUGCCCUGGCAGGAUUGGUAAGGCACUCUCAUACACCACCUGUACAUAUAGCAGAAAUAAAGAAGUUAUUAAACUCCGAUCCCGAGGUGUGGAUGGAUGAUUGAGAAGAUUGCAAAAAUAUCAUGUAUAAGUAUACCUUAAUGGUGAUGUUGUCGACCGAUUUAUGCAGCUCACAUGAGGUGCGUUGCGUGAUGACAUCCAUAGGGAACCGUUGCUCAACCAUGGGUAAUCCUUGCAUUUAUGGAUCGGGGAGCCCUGUGGAAGCACAGCUGCUCCCGAGGUGUUAAGAAGGGCUAGCGACGUUUGGAUCCGACAGUGCUCUAGAUUGGGCUAACUCCGCAACUGCUAGGGCCACUCGACAAUUGAUUUCCUCUUGCAUUCUUACUUCUUGUGAAUGCACUUUGGAUUCUAGCAUGCACCUCAAGGUCUCCUCAACAUGUUCCUUUCUUCGCUUGUGGCUUUGGUACGAAGCGAUGUCACCUUGAAAAGCGAACUUCCACGGAAUGACCCCGUACCCUCGGCAAUGUCUUGGGUGCUCGGGAUUCCCGAGGGCCAAUGUGAGCUCAUGAUUCUCUCGGUCCACCUUCAACCUCCGAGCCUUAGCAUCUUCAAUGUUCUUCAUAAGCCUUUCGGCCUUCUGACGUAUUGUCUCAUUGAAGAUCAAUGUCACAUCCUCUUUGGCUCAGGUUGCCUCCAUGAGCGUAACACCAAUUUUUCGAUUGAUCGGGCCAUUCAAGAGUUGCUGGUAUGAUACUCUGAUCAAUCAGGUUUUGUUCCAUCUUGCACCAUCUGGGAAUUGCUGUGCCCUAACCACCUCACCCUAGACGAUGAUGGUACUCCUUCUUGCCAGCAUUUGCAACGUUGGUCUUGACCUUAUUCGCACCGUCUUCGCUCGUCUUGUGUUCGACAAAUGCCUCCCAGUGGUCCCUCAACUUUUGCCACUCAUCGAAAUCCGGAGUUUAGCCAUUCUUGAUGAAUGUGGCAUCCAGCAUCUUCUUGAAUGUCUGGAAUUGUGUGGCCAUCUUCUUCAGCGUCCACGGUUUCACAUCAUCUUCAUUACAUCCUUCGGGAAAUGUGAAAUGUCUCUUAACAUCUGCCCACAGCAUAUUCUUUUCUGAAUCCGGGAGCGUGUAUGGAUUAGUACUUUUGUCCUUCCAUUCCCUGAUGCUGAUAGGCAGAAGCUAGAGACUAUUUCUUUUUCUAAAAAUACACAUGAGGGAGAAAAUUGGUAACAGCUAAACAGUGCAGAUUGCAUUUCAACACACGUUUUUAUAGCUGAGCACACGUCUGAAUCCCAUUUUUAAGUGUUCGGUCCUACACCCACAUUUUCAUCCCAGGUUGUCGGUUUAGUCAUUUUUUACCUUCCAUGACCUAUAGCACACAUUUUUAUGGUAGAACACGCAUUCAGAGGUCAUUUCCACAUCUUCGGUCCAUCCCCAUAUUUUCAUCCCCGGUGGCCAGUGUGGCUGUUUUCGAACUAACGUGACUUAUAACACACGUUUUCAUAGCCGAACACGUGUCCGAAGGCCAUUUUCAAGUGUCUAGUCUGACACCCACAUUUUUGUCCCCGGUGGCCGGUAUGGCUAUUUUUGUGCUCCCGUCACCUAUAACACACAUUUUCAUGGUCGAACACACGUCCGGAGGCCAUUUUAAGUUGUUCGGUCCAUCCCCACAUUUUUUACCCCGGUGGUCGGUGUGGCCAAUGUUUUCUUGGUCGAACACGCAUCCGGAGGCCAUUUUCACUUGUUCGGUUCGACACUAACAGUUUCAUCCCGGUGGCCGGUGUGGCUAUUUAUCGUUCUCCCAUGACCUAUAACACACAUUUUCAACACUAACACUUUCGGAGGCCAUUUUCAAUUGUUCGGUCUGACACCAAUGUUUUGGUCCCCAGUGGCCGGUGUGGCCGUUUUCAACCUCCCGUGACCUAUAACACACAUUUUCAUAGCUAAACACGCGCCCGGAGGCCAUUUUCAAGUGUUCGGUCUGACACCCACAUUUUCGUCCCCGGUGACCGGUGUAGCUCUUUUUGGCCUUCCAUGACCUAUAGCACACGUUUUCAUGGCCAAACACACGUCUGGAGGCCAUUUUUCACUUGUUUGGUGCAUCCCUAGUUUUUGCUCCAGUGCUAAUGUGGUCGUUUUUAGGCUUCGACCUAUAGCACACAUUUGCAUGGUUGAACACGCGUCCAGACGUCAUUUUCACUUGUUCGGUCCAUCCCCCACGAUUUCAUCCCCGGUGGCCGGUGUGGCCGUUUUUGGGCUCCCAUGACCUAUAACCCACGUUUUCAAGGCCGAACUCGCGUCUGGAGGCCAUUUUCACUUGUUCAGUCCAUCCCACAUGUUCUCGUCCCCGGUGGCCGGUGUGGUCAUUUUCAGGUUCCCGUGACCUAUAAUCCUCGUUUUCAUGGCUGAACACACGUCCGAAGGCCAUUUUCGCUUGUUCAGUCCAUCCCCCAUGUUUUCGUCCCAGGUGGCCAGUGUGGCCGUUUUUGAACUAACGUGACCUAUAACAUACGUUUUCAUAGCCGAACACGUGUCCGAUGUCCAUUUUCAAGUGUUCGGUAUGACACCCAAGUUUUCAUUCCUGAUGGCUGGUGUGGCCAUUUUCGGGCUCCCGUGACCUAUAACACAUAUUUUCAUGGCUGAACAUGCGUCCAAAGGCCAUUUUCAUUUGUUCAGUCCAUCCCCCACGUUUUCAUCACCGGUGGCCGGUGUGGCCAUUUUAGUGAUCCCGUGACCUAUAAAACACGUUUUGAUAGCCGAAGACGUGUUUGCAGGCCAUUUUCAAGUGUUCGGUUUGACACCCACGUUUUCGUCCCCGGUGGCCGGUGUUGCUGUUUUUUGCCUUCCAUGACCUAUACACGUUUUCGUGGCUGAACACGCGUUCGGAGGCUAGUUUCACGUUUUCAUCCCUGACGGCUAGUGUGGCCAUUUUCGGGCUCCCGUGACCUAUAACACACAUUUUCAUGGCCAAACACAAGUCCGGAUGCCAUUUCCAGUUGUUCAGUCCAUCCCCCACAUUUUCAUCCUCGGUGGCCGGUGUGGUAGUUUUUGGCCUCCCGUGACCAACAACACACAUUUUCGUAGCUGAACACAUGUCCGGAGGCUAUUUUCAAGUGUUUGGUCCUACACCCAUCUUUUCAUCCCCGGUGGGUAGUGUAGCCAUUUUUUAUCUUCCGAAACCGAUAGCACACGUUUUCACGAGCAUGGCCUGUGAGGCUUAGCUUCUCGUAACCGUAGGUCAUGGCAGGGUUUGAUCGGUCAGGAGGCUGAAGAGUAAGUUACUUUGGGUAGUCAGUGGAAUGGGAUGCCCUUUCAUUUGGGCGAAGUGUGUGAUCGCACGAAAGUAAAGAGCAGGUGGUACUGCACCCUCGUGGAGCCCCCGAGCGACCCAAGCUAAGAGUGCUCGGGCUGGGGCGCUAUAGGAGCGAGUAUCAAAUGGAAACAACUGGUAAAACCAAGCUAGGGAAAUAAACAAUGUAACUGCUCAAUGUUCCAUGUGUUGGUGAGGAUGUUGCCGUCGUCGUCCUUCAGUCAGUAGGCGCAUGGUCGGAUCACCUCGGUGACUGUGUACAGUCCUUCCCAUGGCGGAGAGAGCUUGUUCUUAUUAUUGGUCGACUAGGUCCUUCGAACCACAAGGUCACCAAUCUCGAGGGUCCUCCCUCGGAUUUUCCUCUCGUGGUACCUACGAAGGGUUUGCUGGUAACGAGCGGAGUGGAUGAUGGCCAUCUCAUGUGGCUCCUCGAGCAGGUCGACUAUGUCCUGCUAAGCUUCUGUAGCUCGGUCUUGGUCGAAGGCCUUUACCCUUAGGGCACCGUAAUCGAGGUCGAACGGUAACACGGCUUUGGCUCCGUACACCAAUAAGAAGGGGGUGAACCCUGUGGAUUGGUUUGGGGUCGUUCUAAGGCUCCAGAUUACCACUGGGAGCUCUGUGACCCAUCACCCGGUGUGCUUUUUUAGCCGGUCGAAAAUGCAAGGCUUGAGCCAUUGGAGGACCAUGCCAUUCGCUUGCUUGACCUGAUCGUUGGUUUGUGGGUGCCCGACCGAGGCCCAGUCGAUCCUAAUGUCGUAUCCAUCAUAGAAAUCCAGGAACUUCUUGCUAGUGAAGUUUGUUUCGUUGUCUGUGAUGAUGCAGUUAGGGACGCUAAACCGAUAGAUGAUGUCAAGGAAGAACUCGACUGCGUCUUGUGACCGGAUGUUGGUGAUGGGCUUCGCCUCAAUCCACUUGGUGAAUUUGUCCACCGCCAUGAGUAGGUGAAUGAUGCCACUCGGGGCCUUUUUAAGGGACCCAACUAUGUCGAGGCCCCAGACCGCGAAUGACCAGAUGAUGGGGAUGGACUAGAGCUCUUGCGUCGGCAGGUGAGUUUUCUGAGCAUAGAACUGGCAGCCUUCACACUUGUGGACCACCUCCUCUACGUCUUGAAAUGUUGUGGGCCAGUAAAAACCUUGGCAAAAGGCUUUCCCGACCAGUGAUCUCAGGGACGCAUGGUGUCCGCAGAUUCUGGCAUGGACAUCAAGAGAAGUUGUUUCCCCUAAUUGGUCGGGAUGCACUUCAUGAGUAUUCCCGAUGGACUUCAUUUGUAACGUUCAUCACCGAUGGCGACAAAUGUCUUGACGCGUCAAGUGAUUCAUCGUGCUUCAAUCCUCUCCAGUGGGAGGACCUCUUCGAGGAUGUAGGCGAGUAACGACGCUCUCCAGUUGGUUGGGUCAUGCACCAUUACGUCAGUGCUUCUAGGUGAGGUCGCCAUAGGGGCAUCAGGGUCGGAGCCCCUGAGCACGCAAUCGGACUGUGACUGGGUUGGGUCCUCUCGGACACGGGCAGAUGGUUCAUGGAGGUCGUUCACGAAGACUCCGUUGGAAGAUGGGCCCCAUCUAGGUGCCAAUUUUGUGAGGAAGUUAGCAACAUCAUUGUCCUUUUGUGGCACAUGAUGUAGCUCGAUCCCUCGGAACUUGUCUUCUAACUUGCAUACAUCUUGACAGUACGCUGCCAUGAGAGGGCUCCUGCAGGAGGACUCCUUCAUGACUUGGUCGACCACUAGCUCCAAGUCGCCGCAGCAUAAAGCCGCAUCUCGCCGAGCUCGAUGGUGAUACGUAGCCUAUUGAUGAGGGCUUCGUACUCCAUGAUGUUGUUCAAGGUUGGAAAAUGGAGACGGAUCGCGUAGCGGAGCCUAUUCCCCUGUGGUGAGAUAAGGACCACUCUAGCCCUCGAGCCAGGUCCCAUGAUCGAACCGUCGAAGUACAUCAUCUAGUACUCGUGGGUGACAUCCAGGGUCAGGAUCUGGACUUCCAUCCACUCGGCGAUGAAGUCGGCCAGGUCCUAAGACUUGAUAGCUAUGCAGGGGACGUACUUGAUGUCAUGGCCCAUGAGCUCAAGCAUGCACUUGGAGAUUCGCCCCAUAGCAUCACGGUUGCAGAUGAUCUCUCCCAGCAGGUACAAGGUGAUGAUCGUGACCUCAUGGUCGGUGAAGUAGUGUCGGAGCUUCCGGGUUGCCAUCAGCAUGACGUACAGAAGGUUCUGGGCUUGGGGUAACGCAUGUUGGCGUCAUGUUGACACCAUGUUUUGACAUACGUCAAACAUGGCGUCAAAAGAAAAUAGAGAUGCCAGCGCAUAGUGGAAGGACAACGGCUAGUGGAAUCGACUGGUAAGGUUGUAGAGGGUUGAGCCGAUAGAGUAAGGCAGAAGCCUAGGCGAUGGGAUCACAGGGGCAUAGCCCAUAGAGUCAGACGAUGCGAGCAGGAGGGUUCUAGCCGAUAGGAAAUGUUGGAGGUUCGGCCGAUGAGGAGCUGGUUUUGGUCGGUAGAAGCCAAGUUCGUUUCUGACUCCUACAUGAGUCAUUUUUAUUUAGAAAGUUUGUUUCUUUAGAGAUAGGUCUUAUGAUUUGUUGUAACCGACUAGGAUUAGAAAUCUUGAUGUAUAGGGUAUAAAUAGGGGCCUUGUAAGGUUUGGAAAAGACACACACAUCAUAAUCAAUACAAAUCUACUAUUUUCGCAAUCUACUUUCAAGUCGACGACUUCGCCAUUGUUUUGUUUUCUUCACGAGUUCUUCCAAGCUGGUUGGGCUGCAUUGCUUCGAUCUCCAGCUAGACUGUAAGUUUCGCGUUUACUGAAUACCUCCUAGGCUUUAACUUUGGGUGCAUUGCUGUCAUUUCGUCUGGAUUUAUUCACAAGUUAUCGAUAUUUACUGGAUCUGCAUGUUUUAUUUGUUAAAUCUUGUUGCUUUAGUUUUUAUCACGGUUAUCCAGCUUAGAACACAUUCCAAUCAGCUUUUUCUUUAUUUCUCAUACUAAUCUACUAUCACCCAGCCGAUUAGAUCUGUUUUAAUUGGUGUUCAUGUAAUGCUAUUUAGGUUGUAUUUUACGCUUCCUUUACAUCUACUACAUCCACAUCGGCUGAUCUAGCCGAUUGUCUUUUCUCGUGUCGGCAGCUCUACGAUACGUCCUGUGGAGCGAUUUAGAAUGCCAGCUGAUUUGCUCUUGUAUUUGACAUUUUACCUGUCCUUUUCAAUCAAUAGGUCAGAUUGACUGGCACACCAUGGAUCGAUAGGGCUACAACCCAAACAGGAGCGAAGCAGAUUCUCCCCGGUUUUGUGUGUUAGUGCGCGGGAGCCGUCUCUCAAUUUUUGCGUCAACACAUCGGUGAGUACUUCACUGAUGAAGUACACCGGUCGCUGGACCUUCAGCGCAUGUCCUAGCUCCUCUCUAUCGACUACAAGGGCAGUACUAACCACGUGGUCGCUUGCCGCGAUGUAGAGGAGAAGGGGUUCUUCCUGCUCGGGAGCGAUGAGGACUAGGGCCGAAGUCAGCAAUGCUUUGAGGCUUUCCAAAGCCCAUUGUGCCUCCUCCAUCCAGACGAAUGCGUCUGCCUUCUUGAGGAGUGUGUAGAGAGGCAUCCGUCGUUCGCCUAGUUGGGAGAUGAACCGGCUCAGGACGGCCAAACAACUAGUGAGCCUCUGUAUGCCCUUGAUGCUGUGUAUGGGGCCCAUGUUGGUGAUGGUCGUGAUUUUUUUGAGGUUGGCUUCAAUGCCGCGCUCGGACAUGAUGUACUUGAGCAGCUUCCCCUUUGGAACCCCGAAAACACAUUUCUCAGGAUUAGUGGGGUUGUGGUGCUGCACUACUCCAGAACAACAACACUGCGGCACGCUUGCUCAAUCAGACGGCAAACCAGCCUGCUCUAGCAUACAACCUCCAUCACCAUCGGCUCCGCAGCCAGCCGUCCAGCGUUAUCAGCAGCAUCCACUAGAAGUCAGCAGGGAGGAUGGUGUUUUGGAUCCUCACAGGGAUGGGUCACCUAUAGUGGUGUACGAUGAGGCAACCAGUGUGUUGCGGCAUGUUGAUUCUUCCCGCCAGUUGACCUAGCCGCAAUAUCUGCAACAUACAUCGGCUAUCCAAUAGCCAAUUGUGGUGCCACAAAUUCAGCAGCAGGUGCCAGUGGGCCAGCCAAUGCUCCAACCUAUGGUCCAGCAGUAGCCGCAACAGGUUGAUUGGGCCGCAAAGAUAGCUGGGGUGAUGCAAGAUCAGUUCGGUCUAAAACCUAAAGUGCAGACCUACACGUACAGAAUGCCGUACCCACCAGCCUAUGACAUGUUGUCGUUCCCUCACCGAUUUCACCAAGUUCUCGGGACAAGAUGAGGCAUCUACGGUGGAGCACGUCAAUAGGUUCAUCAUUCAGUGUGGAGAGUCAGCUGUGCAGGAUGCUCUGAGGGUUCGGCUGUUCUCAUCAUCUCUGUCCGGGUCAGCCUUCCAGUGGUUCACGACGCUUCCACCUAACUCCAUUAUCACCUGGGACAAUCUGGAGAAAUAGUUCCACAAAAACUUUUUUGCUAGGGUUCACGAGAUGAAGCUGACAGAUCUAACUAGUCUCAGGUAGAGGAGUGAUCAAUCGGUGGCCAGUUUCAUCCAACGGUUUAGGGAAGUCAGGAACAAGUGCUACAGUUUGGUCUUGAGCGAUAGCCAACUAGCCAACACGGCUUUUUAGGGGCUUCACAGGAGUUCGAGAGUUUGAGCCAGAUUGUACACCGGUUGUCAAACCAAGACGUACACCCAUUUGAUUAGAGAAAGAAUUUCCAGAAGAAGGUGGCGUACGUGGAGUGUUUGGACUUAGAAGGAGAAGCAGAGGUCAGCUUGGCAGAGUGGGUUAAAGUCCAAAAAGCCGAUCUCUUGCCCGUACGGCAAGAAGGAGCCUGAGAAAUUCGAGUUCAAUAUUUCCAAGGCCAAUAAGAUCUUUGAUUUGUUGCUGCAAGAAGGGAAAAUCAAGCUCUCACCAUACCACACGAUCCCAUUGACUGAAGAACUUAAGAAGAUCAAGUACUGCAAGUGGCACAAUGCCACAUCUCACAACACCAACGAGUGCAAAGUCAUCUGCCAGCAGAUCCAAUUAGCUAUUGAGCAAGGGAGGCUCAAGUUUAAAGCUCCUUCAAAACCAGCAAAGCCGAUGAAGAUCGACCAACAUCCAUUCCCAACAAAUAUGGUAGAAGUCGGAGGCAAAAGCGCACCUCCCACAAAGGUGCUGACAUCAGAACCAGCCAAGAGGAGUGGAGAUGUGGACCCUAGAGUAUAGGUGUCGGCCAACGAUGUCAAGUUGAACAGUCAGUUGCAAGAAGGUUAAGCUCAACAAGGCCUCAAUGGCCGAUAUCCUCCCAAGAGUUUCUCAAUAAGUUAUAGAGAUAGCAAGACCAGGCAAGGCACCGGGAAGAGAUGACACAUCACCAUGAAAACCACUGGAGAUGCCCAUUCUUCAUAUACUGCUAGGAGGAGCGGAUCAAGAUACCAUCGAUUGACAACUACCCCGAAUGCAAUGGGUCAUACCAAGGCAGCCGAUUGUCCAAAAGACCGUGCUUUGAUGAUAGGAAUCAAAAGCCGAUCAAUAGGGAUAGACCUUACCAUGAUGACAGGUGCAUCCCAAUGCGUGAUUGACUGGGGGGGCAGGAUCAGUAUACAUGAUUGGCUGGAGGGCAGGCUAAAUGUUCCCAACAGACUAGAGGAAAGAGCCAAUGCAAGAGUCCUCGAUGAAGAGCCUUUGUGUCGCGAACCAGAGCGGCGGCGUGCAUCAUGAGACAAAGCUAUAGAAUAGCCUAGAUGGUGCCCAGCGGGUUUGACUAAGUCCCAGAAGAGACGGGUUCAAUGCAUGCGACAAUGGGAGUAUCAAGAAGAGGAACAAAGGUGUGCUUCAGAAAGGAAAGGGGUCAAAUCCUAGGUGUGGCACAUCAAAGACAAAGCCGAUGACGAAGAUAACAAUCCCAAAUCAGCUGUUGAUGUCAACAUGGUUUUCGUAUUACCGAUGGAAUUCAUGGCUCCAACCAAUCACAAGGCAACAGAAGCAGAACAGGGGAUGGCACAAUUAACCUUGGAGCUGAUGUCAGCCACCUUUGAGAAACCCAAAGAUGAAAAACGUCGGCACCUGAAAGCCCUCUUCCUCAAGGGGCAAAUCGACGGGAGGCUGAUUACCAAGCUUCUGGUGGACAGUGGUGCAGCCGUGAACAUCAUGUCGUAUGCCAUGUUCCGCAAGCUCGGCAAAGGCGAAGAAGACUUGAUCAAAACAGACAUGAUGCUGAAGGACUUCAAAGGAAACAUCUCUCCGGCCCAGGGGGCACUCUGCGUCGACCUCACCAUCGGCAGUAAGACCCUAGCUACUACUUUCUUUGUUAUUAAUGGUAAAGGGUCCUACAAUAUGCUUCUGGGUCAAGAUUGUAUUCACGCCAACUACUACAUCCCGUCUACAAUGCAUCAAUGUCUCAUCCAAUGGGUCGGCGACUCAGUUGAAGUGGUCACCGCUGAUUCUUCUUUCAGCGUCGUUGCAGCCGAUGCACAAUAGUAGAAUUGCAAAUAAGUCAGCUGCAUAUCUGGCAGAGUCUAGGAUACAGAUUUCUUGAAGAUGUCCAAUUUUGGACUACAGCGAUCCAAGUAGUCGGCUCUGAAGAAUUGUCCUGAUGGAUGAGUUCACCCAAGAAGAUGGGAAGCUGGAGCAUGAGUUUAUGUCAGUCGACGAGUUAGAGAUGGUAGAGCUUGAAGAUGGGAGCAAGCCAAAGCAGACAUAUAUUAGUGCUAAGUUAGAUCCUGAGUAUAAGCAUGAACUAAUUAAGUUGUUAAAAGAAUUCAAAGAUUGUUUUGCUUGGGAGUAUCAUGAAAUGCCUGGUUUAGAUCAAUCUAUUGUCGAACAUCAGUUGCUAAUAAAAUCAGGAUAUCGGCCGUAUCAGCAACCUGUGUGACGUUGUAAUCCGAAGAUUUUACUUGAUAUUAAGGCUAGGAUCACAAGAUUAAUUGAUGUGGGGUUUAUUCGGCAAUGUCGGUAUGCUGAGUGGAUUUUUAAUGUGGUUCCCGUAUACAAGAAGAAUGGAAAACUGCACAUUUGUAUUGAUUUCAGGAACCUCAAUCAAGCCACACCAAUGGAUGGUUGUCUGAUGCCGACAGCUGAUGUGUUGAUAGAUGCUACUUUAGGAUACAAAGUCAUUAGUUUCAUGAAUGGUAACGUUGGAUAUAACCAAGUAUUGAUGGAGAAAGAAGAUAUUUCCAAGACGGCUUUCGGGUGUCCUGGACACAACGGUUUAUUUGAAUGGGUGGUCAUGACCUUCGGAUUGAAAAAUGCUAGGGCUACAUAUCAGCGAGCCAUGAAUUACAUUUUCCAUAAACUUAUCGGCAUCCUAGUGGAAAUUUAUAUCGAUGAUGUCGUAGUCAAAUCGAAAGGGUAUCGAGAACACUUAGCCGAUUUGCGUGAAGUCCUGGAAUGCACAAGGAAAGAUGGGUUGAAAAUGAAUCCGAAUAAAUGUGCUUUUGGCGUGUCGGCUCGAAAGUUCUUGGGGUUCAUGGUUCACGAGUGAGGCAUUGAAAUUAAUCAGAGGAUCAUUGGUUCUAUUAACAAAGUUGUGGCUCCGUAAAAUAAGACUGAGUUGCAGUCAUUAAUCGAUAAAAUUAAUUUCAUCCAAAGAUUCAUAUCGAACCUGUCUGGAAGGAUUCAAUCUUUCAGCCUGUUGCUUAAACCAAAAGUCGAUCAAGAGUUCGUUUGGGGGUAGAGCAGCAAAAUGCAUUGGAUGAUAUCAAACAAUACCUGGUGUCACCUCCUAUAUUGGUUCCUCCACAAGCUAACAAGUCGUUCAGGUUAUACCUCUCAGCCUAUGAGUGUGCCAUUGGGUCGGCUCUUGUCCAAGAACUUGAAGGGAAGGAACGAGUAAUUUAUUAUGUGAGCAGAAGACUCUUGGAUGCAGAGACCAGGUAUUCCCCAGUUGAGAGGUUGUGUCUAUGCCUAUAUUUCUCCUGCACUAAGCUUAGACACUAUUUAUUAUCCGCCGAGUGCGUUGUGGUAUGCAAGGAUGAUGUGGUCAAAUACAUGUUGCCAUUGCCAAUUCUAAAUGGAAGGAUUGGGAAGUGGAUUUUGACUCUGUCGGAGUUUGACCUAAAGUACGAAUCAACUAAAGCUGUCAAAAAGGGCAAGUCAUGGCCGAUUUUGUUACUCAUCAUUGUAGGCCAGAGGUUGCUAUUGUUGAGGUAGCCCAAUGGACUUUAUUCUUUGAUGGAUCUUCAUGUGGGAUUGGAUCAGGAAUCGGCAUAAUCCUUAUAUCACCUUGGGAGGCGAACUACAAGUUCUCACUGCCAGUUGAGGCUUCUGCUACCAACAACCAGGCCGAGUAUCGAGCCAUUUUGAAGGGGAUCCAAUUGCUGAGAGAAAUCAAAGCUGAUGCUGUUGAGAUUUUUGGGGAUUCUAUGCUUAUCAUCAACCAGCUGACUGGAGGAUGUGAAUGCAGAGAUGAUAUUUUAAGAAUUUACUAUGAACAGUGCCUUCAGUUACUCAAAGAAUUCAAGAGUGUGGUUAUUGAGCAUAUUCCCAGAGAUUACGAUGAGGAUGCUAACAAGCUCGCCGCAUGCUUCUGGUUAUCGACCGAUCUGUGGUGUUAUGGCCUUAGAGUUAAUGGCCGAUGAUUGGAGGAAAGAAAUAGUAGAUUACUUAAAAGAUCCCUCCAAGAAAGUCGAUAGGCGAGUUCGAUUUCAGGCUUUGCAAUAUGUGUUGCUUGAAGAUGACCUUUAUUAUCUGAUGAUUGAUGGGGUCUUGCUUAAAUACCUCAGGGUUGAAGAAGCCAAGAAACUGAUGGGCGAAAUUCAUGAAGGGGUUUGCGGAGCUCAUCAAUCGGCUUUCAAGAUGAAGUGGAUGAUUAGAAACAAGGGGUAUUAUUGGCCGACUAUACUUGAAGACUGCUUUAAAUACUAUAAAAGUUGUCAAGAUUGUCAGAAGUUUGGCAAUGUGCAAAGAGCCCCGGCAUCGGCUAUGAAUCCUAUAAUAGAGUUGUGGCCAUUUAGGGGGUAUCGAUUUGAUCGGCCAGAUUUAUCCACCUUCAAGCAAGGGUCAUAAGUUCAUACUAGUAGCAACGAAUUAUUUCACUAAGUGGGUUGAAGCAAUUCCCUUGAAAAAUGCAACAUCGGCAAGCAUGGUUGAUUUUGUCAAAGAACACAUCAUCUAUCAAUUUGGUAUCCCUCAAACUAUCACUACCGAUCAAGGGACAAUGUUCACUUCGAGAGAGUUUGAGGAAUUCGCUACUAGUAUGGGAAUUAGGUUGUUGAAUUCUUCUUUGUAUUAUGCCCAGGAAAAUGGUCAAGCUGAAUCAUCCAACAAGGGGAUCAUUAAAUUAAUUAAGAGGAAGAUCGAAGAGCAGCCAAGGCGCUGGCACACUACGUUGAGCGAAUCCUUAUGGGCGUAUCAAAUGGCUUGUCACGGAGCCACAAAAGUAUCCCCUUAUCAAUUGGUUUAUGAACAUGAAGCAGUUCUACCUUGGGAGUUAAAGACUGGGUCUAGGCGUGCAUCGUUGCAAGACCAGUUAACAGCCGAAGAAUACUCUACUUUGAUGAAAGGGGAUUUGGAAGACCUAGCGGGUCAUCGACUAAGGUCUUUGAUCAGCAUCGAAGAAAAUAAGAAGAGGGUGGCUAGAUGGUAUGACAAAAAGGUCAAGGUCAAGGAGUAUUCCCAAGGAGAUUUAGUCUGGAAGCCGAUAUUGCCGAUUGUGUCUAAAGAUCCCAAAUUUGGGAAAUGGUCGCCUACAUGGGAGGGACCGUAUCGGAUAAACCGGUGUGCUCCUGGUAAUGAGUAUAUUUUGGAGACACUUGAAGGAGAGGAGUUCACAAGGGCUCUAAAUGGAAAAUACUUUAAGAAGUACUACCCGAGUAUAUGGGUAGAUGCAUAGCCGAUGGUGUGAUGCCUCGGACUAACAUAGACGAUAUUGAGGGUAUCGCCUUUAGUCUAAAAAGAAAAGAAGGAAAAAGGCAGACACAUGGAUAGCCGAUAAAAUCAGCUGUGAUAUGGCCGAUGUGAUACAAGUCACCCUUAGAACAAAUAAUACUUGCAACACUUCGGACACAACAGGUUAUUACAUCAAAGUCAUCAUUAUAUCAUGGCCAAGACAUUCCAUUACAGGCAAAUCUGGAUGGCUCCCUAUUGAUAUCGGCAAAUACUUACUCCCUUUGGCGAGAUGUGCCUAGGAGACGCCCCAGUUGAGCCUUAGUAGUGCCGAUUUCCCUGUUGACCUGGCCCAAUUCCAGUAGAAGUUGAAUUUUCCUAGCCUCCAAACUGGCCAACUUGUCUUCGAGCAAUACACGGGGGGGGGGGGGGGGGGGGGGGGGAGAGAGGUUGAUGGCUUCGAAGGAUUGGCUGCUGCAUUUGCUGGUUUGAGCCUGCAGCUUUGAUUGAGGACAAGAUCGAUUUGAUGUCCAUAGGUAGAUGGUCUCUGAUUUGAUCACGAUGAGCUUGGAUCAAAGCUUUGUCCACCUAGGUGAGCGGCUCAUUGGAAUGAAGGAUCUGGAUGACCUAUUCAAGCUGUUCGUCCACUUGAUUUGGCUGGGAAAGAGAACAAAGAGUCAAGGUUUGGUUCAUGAUAACCAAUUCGGAAUAGAGAAAACAUAGCAAUACCUGGUUGACUGAAGAAGAGGAAGCCAUCUUGGUCGCGUGAAUUCAAUCUAGUUCGAAAACUCGCAGUGUGUGCGGUCUUGAAGGUGACCUCAAGGAAGGAGUAGGGGUCUGUAUUUAUAAGACGAAUAGACGUGUGAAAUGUGAACAAUGGUCGGUCAAAAGGGGCUUUAAAUGGGACUAGCCAUUGGCGAGUCAGAAAGAGCUGUGGAGAAACGGUCAAAUUACAUUCAAGAUGGAUAUUGAGCAUUGACAUCACGAGAGGAAUGUACCAAGUACCAGAAUACAUAAAAGCUAAUAACGUUCGUUACAAUUAUGCUAGAAGAGUUUGAAUGGCAUUUAUCGCACGCAGGCGAAUCUGAUUGGCAGCCUUUAUCUCCCUACGGUCGUCAUCGGCUGAGCCGGGUAUGUCAGUUAUGCUCCGAUGUAGCUGAAUAGCUUGAUGCGCAUGUGCUUGCUUUUCCUGCUCUAAUUGCUUGAGGACUUCUAGAAGUUGGGCGAGCUUGGUUUCUUCGACGAUGAUGGCAUCGCCGAUGCUUUUCAAUUCCUUCAUCAGUUUUUACCUCCUUGCUUUGAGCCAAUCAAUUUCACCAACAAUAUUGGGGCGAGAAUCCCUAAGAAAGCCGAUCUUGGGAUGGAUUUCAUCGGCCUAAAGCUUAUGGAAUUCCUUGUCCUUAUGCAAUUGUUCCUGUUUGGCGCGAUCGGCUGUGCGGCGUAGAGCCCUUAACAUCGGGACUUGGUGACUCCCUAUGUAGGCUGCGGGGAGGAUGGCUUCUUCUUUGUCUUCUAGGAUCUGGCCUUUGAGGUUGCGGAGGAUGUCGUGCAUCGGUUGUGCAUCUUUGACUAGUUGGCUGAUGCCUUGCUGAAGGAAGUCGAGUAUAUCUUGAAGUUUGGCCUUUAGGACAUCAGGAAUAGAUUCUGGAACCAGUGGGUGUGACAAAACUUCUUCUUCUUCGUGGAUUUCCCCUACCUGAAAUGAGAAGAGGCUGCUGUCUGGAGUGUCCUGAGCCUGCAAGGAUCAAUAAGGUAUAAGCUGAUGAAGCUAGUUGAUUGGAAUCAAUUAAUGUGCAAAAGAGUGUUCACCAUCUUCCAUUGGGUUUCUCUGGUUUGUGUUGGUGAUUCCACUAGGGACUCUUGUUGAACUGGUUCUGCGGAGGGUGGCAUGUUCUUGGAAGGUACAUUGACUGCUAGUGUUUCAAGAAUAGCGGCCGACACUUCUGGGAUAGUCUGUAUAGAAAACCGAACGAUUCUUAGCAACGGAGGUUGAGAAGGGUUGGAAUAGAGUAUGCAUUUUACCUCAAGUGUUGGAGUGAUGGCCGAUGCAGUCUCCUGUGUAUCUUUAGCCUGUGGAUCAGCCGAUGAAGGAGGCGGAGGCAUAGCCGAUUCUAGGAUGGGCUCUUCUGGUGCCGAUUGUGCGGAAGGCUAAAAGAAACAAGAGUCAGUACUAGCAAAGUAUCUAGAAAAAAUUAAAUAAGUGAGAUUACCUGCAUAGCCUCUAUCAAAAGUGAUGUAGCUACUGACGCUACUUCCGCUAGAACAGCCGUUUGGGGUGCCACCGCUGCCGUCGGAUCAGUCUCCUGGGCUGACGCUGCUGUCGGCAGGACGGAUGCC
Molecule: long non-coding RNA, 59420 nt
Filed under: Setaria viridis
Lineage: Eukaryota; Viridiplantae; Streptophyta; Magnoliopsida; Poales; Poaceae
Description: long non-coding RNA (SVIR_LNC010032)
Source: RNAcentral